AGCGGGAGGGUCACCUAGCGGCGCAUCAAGGACAUAAGCCUUUUUAGCUGCUUCAAGGAUGAGCUUCAAGUUGUGAACCCAGUCCGCAUAGUUGCUACCAUAAUCUUUCAGCUUGUUUUUCUCUAGGAAUGCGAUGAAAUUGAGGUUGACGUUGGCCAUCUACAAUAUUUAUAAAGACAACUUUUAGACUAAGUUCAUGACAAUUAAGUUCAUUUAAUCAAAUUAAGUAUGAACUCCCACUUAAACCGAGAUCCCUCUAGUCAUCUAAGUGAUACAUGAUCCAUGUUGACUAACCCGUGUCCGAUCAUCACGUGAGACAGACUAGUCAUCAUGGUGAGCAACUCAUGCUGAUCGUAUUCAACCAUACGAAUCAUGUUCUACCUUUCAGUCUCUUGUAUUCGAGGUCAUGUCUGUACACGCUAAGCUCGUCGAAUCGACCUAGGUGUUUCGCGUGUGUAAAUCUGGCUUACACCCGUUGUAUGCGAACGUUAGAAUCUAUCACACCCGAUCAUCACGUGGUGCUUCGAGACAACGAUCCUUCGCAACGGUGCACACUUAGGGGAAUACGUUCUCGAAAUUUUAAGAGGGUGUUGGAAAUAUGCCCUAGAGGCAAUAAUAAAUUAGUUAUUAUUAUAUUUCUUAGUUCAUGAUAAUCGUUUAUUAUCCAUGCUAUAAUUGUAUUGAUUGGAAACACAAUACUUGUGUGGAUACAUAGACAACACACUGUCCCUAGUAAGCCUCUAGUUGACUAGCUCGUUGAUCAAAGAUGGUCAAGGUUUCCUGGCCAUAGGCAAGUGUUGUCACGUGAUAACUGGAUCACAUCAUUAGGAGAAUCAUGUGAUGGACUAGACCCAAACUAAUAGACGUAGCAUGUUGAUCGUGUCAUUUUGUUGCUACUGUUUUCUGCGUGUCAAGUAUUUGUUCCUAUGACCAUGAGAUCAUAUAACUCACGGACACCGGAGGAAUGCUUUAUGUGUAUCAAACGUCGCAACGUAACUGGGUGACUAUAAAGACGCUCUACAGGUAUCUCCGAAGGUGUUCGUUGAGUUAGUAUGGAUCGAGACUGGGAUUUGUCACUCCGUGUGACGGAAAGGUAUCUCGGGGCCCACUCGGUAAUACAACAUCACACACAAGCCUUGCAAGCAAUGUAACUUAGUGUAAGUUGCGGGAUCUUUUAUUACGGAACGAGUAAAGAGACUUACCGGUAAAUGAGAUUGAAAUAGGUAUACGGAUACUGACGGUCGAAUCUCGGGCAAGUAACAUACCGAAGGACAAAGGGAAUGACAUACGGGAUUAUAUGAAUCCUUGACACUGAGGUUCAAACGAUAAGAUCUUCGUAGAAUAUGUAGGAUCCAAUAUGGGCAUCCAGGUCCCGCUAUUGGAUAUUGACCGAGGAGUCUCUCGGGUCAUGUCUACAUAGUUCUCGAACCCGCAGGGUCUGCACACUUAAGGUUCGACGUUGUUUUAUGCGUAUUUGAGUUAUAUGGUUGGUUACCGAAUGUUGUUCGGAGUCCCGGAUGAGAUCACGGACGUCACGAGGGUUUCCGGAAUAGUCCGGAAAUAAAGAUUGAUAUAUAGGAUGACCUCAUUUGAUACCGGAAGGUUUUCGGAGUUACCGGGAAUGUACCGGGAAUGACGAAUGGGUUCCGGGAGUUCACCGGGGGGGGGCAACCCACCCUGGGGAAGCCCAUAGGCCUUGAGGGUGGCACACCAGCCCUUAGUGGGCUGGUGGGACAGCCCAAAAGGGCUCUAUGCACCAAGGAGAAGAAAAUCAAGAGGAAAGAAAAAAAAGGAGGAGGUGGGAAGGAAGGGGGACUCCCUCCCACCAAACCAAGUCCAACUCGGUUUGGGGGGGGAGUCCUCCCCCCCUUGGACUCGGCCGACCCCCUUGGGGCUCCUUGAGCCCCUAGGCAAGGUCCCCUCCCUCCCACCUAUAUAUACGGAGGUUAUAGGGCUGAUUUGAGACGACUUUUCCACGGCAGCCCGACCACAUACCUCCACGGUUUUUCCUCUAGACCGCGUUUCUGCGGAGCUUGGGCGGAGCCCUGCUGAGACAAGGUCAUCACCAACCUCCGGAGCGCCGUCAUGCUGCCGGAGAACUCUUCUACCUCUCCGUCUCUCUUGCUGGAUCAAGAAGGCCGAGAUCAUCGUCGAGCUGUACGUGUGCUGAACGCGGAGGUGCCGUCCGUUCGGUACUAGAUCGUGGGACUGAUCGCGGGAUUGUUCGCGGGGCGGAUCGAGGGACGUGAGGAUGUUCCACUACAUCAACCGCGUUCACUAACGCUUCUGCUGUACGGUCUACAAGGGUACGUAGAUCACUCAUCCCCUCUCGUAGAUGGACAUCACCAUGAUAGGUCUUCGUGCGCGUAGGAAAUUUUUUGUUUCCCAUGCGACGUUCCCCAACAGUGGCAUCAUGAGCUAGGUUCAUGCGUAGAUGUCUUCUCGAGUAGAACACAAAAGUUUUUGUGGGCGGUGAUGUGCGUUUUGCUGCCCUCCUUAGUCUUUUCUUGAUUCCGCGGUAUUGGUGGAUCGAAGCGGCUCGGACCGACAUUACUCGUACGCUUACGAGAGACUGGUUUCAUCGCUACGAGUAACUCCGUUGCUCAAAGAUGACUGGCGGGUGUCAGUUUCUCCAACUUUAGUUGAAUCGGAAUUGACCGAGGAGGUCCUUGGAUGAGGUUAAAUAGCAAUUCAUAUAUCUCCGUUGUGGUGUUUGGGUAAGUAAGAUGCGAUCCUACUAGAUACCCAUGGUCACCACGUAAAACAUGCAACAACAAAAUUAGAGGACGUCUAACUUGUUUUUGCAGGGUAUGCUUGUGAUGUGAUAUGGCCAACGAUGUGAUGUGAUAUAUUGGAUGUAUGAGAUGAUCAUGUUGUAAUAGAAAAUAUCGAUUUGCACGUCGAUGGUACGGCAACCGGCAGGAGCCAUAGGGUUGUCUUUAUACUAACGUUUGUGCUUGCAGAUGCGUUUACUAUUUUGCUAGGAUGUAGCUUUAGUAGUAAUAGCAUGAGUAGCACGACAACCCCGAUGGCAACACGUUGAUGGAGAUCAUGGUGUGGCGCCGGUGACAAGAAGAUCGUGCCGGUGCUUUGGUGAUGGAGAUCAAGAAGCACGCGAUGAUGGCCAUAUCAUGUCACUUAUGAAUUGCAUGUGAUGUUAAUCCUUUUAUGCACCUUAUUUUGCUUAGAACGACGGUAGCAUUAUGAGGUGAUCUCUCACUAAAAUAUCGAGACGAAAUUGUGUUCUCCCCGACUGUGCACCGUUGCUACAGUUCGUCGUUUCGAGACACCACGUGAUGAUCGGGUGUGAUAGACUCAACGUUCACAUACAACGGGUGCAAAACAGUUGCGCACGCGGAACACUCGGGUUAAGCUUGACGAGCCUAGCAUGUGCAGACAUGGCCUCAGAACACAUGAGACCAAAAGGUCGAGCAUGAAUCGUAUAGUUGAUAUGAUUAGCAUAGAGAUGCUUACCACUGAAACUAUUCUCGACUCACGUGAUGAUCGGACUUGAGAUAGUGGAUUUGGAUCAUGUACCACUCAAAUGACUAGAGAGAUGUACUUUUUGAGUGGGAGUUCUUAAGUAAUAUGAUUAAUUGAACUAAUUGUCAUGAACAUAGUCUAAUGGUCUUUGCAAAUUACGAUGUAGCUUGCGCUAUGGCUCUACUGUUUUUAUAUGUUCCUAGAGAAAAUUUAGUUGAAAAUUGAUAGUAGCAAAACUUUGCAGACUAGGUCUGUAAAACCGAGGAUUGUCCUCGUUGCUGCGCAGAAGGAUUAUGUCCUUAAUGCACCACUCGGUGUGAUGCACCUUGAGCAUCGUCUGUGGAUGCUAUGAACAUCCGACAUACACGUUUCUGAUGACUACACGAUAGUUCAGUGCAAAAUACUUAAUGGCUUAGAAGCAAGGCGCCGAAAACGUUGUAAAACGUCACGGAACAUAAGUGAUGUUCUAAAGAGAUGAAAUUGUGAUUUCAUGCUUGUGCCCUUGUUAAGAGGUACGAGACCUCCGACAAGAUUCUUUGUCCACAAAGUAAAGGAGAAAGGCUCAAUCGUUGAAUGUGUGCUCAGAUUGUCUGAGUACGACAAUCGCUUGAAUCGAGUGGGAGUUAAUCUUCCAGAUGAGAUAGUGAUAGUUCUCCAAAGUCACUGCCACCAAGCUGUGAGAGCUUUGUGAUGAACUAUAACAUAUCAAGGAUACAUACAAUGAUCCUUGAGCGAUUCGCGAUGUUUGACACUACGAAAGUAGAAAUCAAGAAGGAGCAUCAAUAGUUGAUGGUUUGUAAAACCACUAAGUUUCAAGAAAGGCAAGGGCUAGAAGGGAUACUUCGUGAAACGGCAAAACAGUUGCUGCACUAAUGAAGAGACCUAAGAUUAAACCCAAACCCGAGACUAAGUGCUUCUGUAAUGAGGGGAACAGUCACUGAGGCGGAGCAACUCUAGAUACUUGGUAGAUAAGAAGGCUGGCAAAAGUCAAGAGAAGUAUAUUAGAUAUACAUGAUGUUGAUGUGUACUUUACUAGUACUCCUAGUAGCAUGAGGGUAUUGGAUACGGUUCGGUUGCUAAGUGAUUAGUAACACGAAAUGAAAGCUACGGCGUAAACGGAGACUAGCUAAAGGCGAGGUGACAAUACGUGUUGGAAGUGUUUCCAAGGUUGAUAUGAUCAAACGUCGCACGCUUCCUCUACCAUCGGGAUUGGUGUUAAACCUAAAUAAUUGUUAUUUGGUGCUUGCGUUAAGCAUGAACAUGAUUGGAUCGUGUUUAUUGCAAUACGAUUAUUCAUUUAAAGAGAAUAAUGGUUACUCUAUUUUCUUGAAUAAUCACCUUCAAUGGUUUAUUGAAUCUCGAUCGUAGUGUUACACAUGUUCAUAAUAUUGGUGCCAAAAAGAUACGAGUUAAUGAUGAUAGUACCACUUACUUGUGGCACUGCCGCUUGAGUCAUGUUAGUAUAAAUUGCAUGAAGAGGCUCCAUGCUGAUGGAUCUUUGUACUCACGUGAUUUCGAAUCACUAGUGACAUGCAAACCAUACCACAUGAGCAAGGCCUUGUUUUCAUUGAGAUGAAAUAAGAUAGUAACUUGUUGGAAGUGAUACAUUUUGAUGUAUGCAAUCCAAUGGGUACUGAGGCACGCAGUGGAUAUCAUUAUGUUCUUACUUCACUGACGAUUUGAGUAGAUACAGGAGUAUUUACUUAAUGAAUCACAAGUCUGAAAUGUUGAAAAGUUCAAUUCUGUUUCAGAGUGAAGUUCGUCGUAACAAGAGGAUAAACUGUCUACGAUAUGAUCAUAGAAAUGAAUAUCUGAGUUACGAGUUUUGGUACGCAGUUAAGACAAUGUGGAAAUUGUUUCGCAGUUCAUGCCACCUGGAACAUCAUAGUGUGAUGAUGUGUCUGAACGUCAUAGCCACGCACUAUUUGGUAUGGUGCAUACUAUGAUGUCUCUUAUCGAAUUACCACUAUCGUUUAUGGGUUAUGCAUUAGAGACAACCGCACUCACUUUAAAUAGGGCACCGCGUAUUUCCGUUGAAAUGACAUAGUAUAGACUGAGGUUUAGAGAAAUCUAAACUGUCGUUUCUUGAAAGUUUGGGGUUUCGAAACUUAUGUGAAAAAGUUUCAGUCUGAUAAGCUCGAACCCAAAGCGGAUAAAUGCUUCUUCAUAGGGUAUCCAAAACAGUUGGGUACAUCUCCUAUCUCAGAUCCGAAAGCAAAGUGUUUGUUUCUAGAAACGGAUCCUUUCUCGAGGAAAGGUUUCUCUUGAAAGAAUUGAGUGGGAGGGUAGUAGAACUUGAUGAGGUUAUUGAACCAUCACUUCAACCAGUGUGUAGCAGGGCGCAGGAAGUUGUUCCUGUGGCGCCUACACCAAUUGAAGUGGAAGCUGAUGAUGGUGAUCAUUGAGCUUCGAAUCAAGUUACUACAAACCUCGUAGGUCGACAAGGUCGCGUACUGCUGUUACGGUAACCCUGUCUUGGAGGUCAUGUUGUUGAGCAACAGUGAACCUACGAGUUAUGGAGAAAGCGAUGGUGGGCCCAGAUUCCGACAAAUGGCUGGAAGCCAUGAAAUCUGAGAGAGGAUCCAUGGAUGAAAACAAAGUGUAGACUUUGGAAGAACUACUUGAUGGUCAUAAGACUAUUGAGUAAAAAUGGAUCUUUAAAAGAAGACAGACGAUGAUGGUGAUAAGUCACUAUUAAGAAAAGCUCGACUUGUCGCAAAGAUGUUUUCGACAAGAUCAAACAGUUGACUAUGAUGAGACUUUCUCACUCGUAGCGAUGCUAAAGGUCUGUUAGAAUUAUGUUAGUUGUUGAUGCAUUAUUUAUGAAAUAUUGCAUGUAGGAUGUCAAAACAUUGUUUCCUCGACGGUUUCCUUGAGCAAACAUUGUAUGUGAUACAACCAGAAGGUUUUGUCGAUCCUAAAGAUACUAACAAGUAUGCAAACUCCAGCGAUCCUUCAAUGGACUGGUGCAAGCAUCUCGGAGUUGGAAUAAACACUUUGAUGAGAUGAUCAAAGAUUUUGGGUGUGUACAAGGUUUAUGAGAAACUUGUAUUUCCAAAGAAGUGAGUGGGAGCACUAUAGAGUUUCUGAUAAGUAUAUGUGGUUGACAUAUUGUGGAUCAGAAGUGAUGUAGAAUUUUUGUAAAGCAUAUAAGGUUGUUUGAAAGGAGUUUUUCAAAGGAAUACCUGGAUUGCGCUACUUGAACGUUGAGCAUCAAAGAUCUAUGGAGAUAGAUCGAAAGCGCUUAAUAGAAGUUUCAACAAGAUGCAUGCCUUGACAAAGUUUUUGAAGGAGUUCAAAAUAGAUCAGCGAAGAAAGAGUUCUUGGUUGCGUUGUGAGGUGUGAAUUUGAGUAAGACUCAAAACCCGACCACGGCAGAAUAAAGAGAAUAGACGAAGGUCGUCUUCUAUGCCUUAGCCGUAGAAUCUAAAGUAUGCCAUGCUGAGUACCGCACCUGAUGUGUGCCUUAACUCAAAGUCUGUUGAGAGGUACAGAAAGUGAUCCAUGAUUGAAUCACUGAUCAGCGGUCAAAGUUAUCCUUAGUAAACUAAGGAAUUUUUUCUCGAUUAUGGAGGUGGUUAAAGAGUUCGUCGUAAAGGGUUACGUCGAUGCAAGCUUUGACACUAAUCCGAAUAACUAUGAGUAGUGUAACGGAUUCGUAUAAUAGAGUAGAUAUUUGGAGCAUUUCCGAAUAGCACGUAGUAGCAGCAUCUAUAAGAUGACAUAAAGAUUUGUAAAGAACACACGGAUCUGAAAGUUUCAGAACCGUUGACUAAAACCUCUCUCACGAGCAAGACGUGAUCAGACCCCAGACAUAUAUGGGUGUUGGAUUCGUUGGAAUCACAUGGUGAUGUGAACUAGAUUAUUGAUUCUAGUGCAAGUGGGAGACUGUUGGAAAUAUGCCCUAGAGGCAAUAAUAAAUUAGUUAUUAUUAUAUUUCUUAGUUCAUGAUAAUCGUUUAUUAUCCAUGCUAUAAUUGUAUUGAUUGGAAACACAAUACUUGUGUGGAUACAUAGACAAAACACUGUCCCUAGUAAGCCUCUAGUUGACUAGCUCGUUGAUCAAAGAUGGUCAAGGUUUCCUGGCCAUAGGCAAGUGUUGUCACGUGAUAACGGGAUCACAUCAUUAGGAGAAUCAUGUGAUGGACUAGACCCAAACUAAUAGACGUAGCAUGUUGAUCGUGUCAUUUUGUUGCUACUGUUUUCCGCGUGUCAAGUAUUUGUUCCUAUGACCAUGAGAUCAUAUAACUCACGGACACCGGAGGAAUGCUUUAUGUGUAUCAAACGUCGCAACGUAACUGGGUGACUAUAAAGACGCUCUACAGGUAUCUCCGAAGGUGUUCGUUGAGUUAGUAUGGAUCGAGACUGGGAUUUGUCACUCCGUGUGACGGAAAGGUAUCUCGGGGCCCACUCGGUAAUACAACAUCACACACAAGCCUUGCAAGCAAUGUAACUUAGUGUAAGUUGNNNNNNNNNNNNNNNNNNNNNNNNNNNNNNNNNNNNNNNNNNNNNNNNNNNNNNNNNNNNNNNNNNNNNNNNNNNNNNNNNNNNNNNNNNNNNNNNNNNNNNNNNNNNNNNNNNNNNNNNNNNNNNNNNNNNNNNNNNNNNNNNNNNNNNNNNNNNNNNNNNNNNNNNNNNNNNNNNNNNNNNNNNNNNNNNNNNNNNNNNNNNNNNNNNNNNNNNNNNNNNNNNNNNNNNNNNNNNNNNNNNNNNNNNNNNNNNNNNNNNNNNNNNNNNNNNNNNNNNNNNNNNNNNNNNNNNNNNNNNNNNNNNNNNNNNNNNNNNNNNNNNNNNNNNNNNNNNNNNNNNNNNNNNNNNNNNNNNNNNNNNNNNNNNNNNNNNNNNNNNNNNNNNNNNNNNNNNNNNNNNNNNNNNNNNNNNNNNNNNNNNNNNNNNNNNNNNNNNNNNNNNNNNNNNNNNNNNNNNNNNNNNNNNNNNNNNNNNNNNNNNNNNNNNNNNNNNNNNNNNNNNNNNNNNNNNNNNNNNNNNNNNNNNNGACCCCCCCCCCCCCCUUGGACUCGGCCGCCCCCCUUGGGGCUCCUUGAGCCCCAAGGCAAGGUCCCCUCCCUCCCACCUAUAUAUACGGAGGUUUUAGGGCUGAUUUGAGACGACUUUUCCACGGCAGCCCGACCACAUACCUCCACGGUUUUUCCUCUAGAUCGCGUUUCUGCGGAGCUCGGGCGGAGCCCUGCUGAGACAAGGUCAUCACCAACCUCCAGGGCGCCGUCAUGCUGCCGGAGAACUCUUCUACCUCUCCGUCUCUCUUGCUGGAUCAAGAAGGCUGAGAUCAUCGUCGAGCUGUACGUGUGCUGAACGCGGAGGUGCCGUCCGUUCGGUACUAGAUCGUGGGACUGAUCGCGGGAUUGUUCGCGGGGCGGAUCGAGGGACGUGAGGACGUUCCACUACAUCAACCGCGUUCACUAACGCUUCUGCUGUACGGUCUACAAGGGUACGUAGAUCACUCAUCCCCUCUCGUAGAUGGACAUCACCAUGAUAGGACUUCGUGUGCGUAGGAAAUUUUUUGUUUCCCAUGCGACGUUCCCCAACAGAGGGAUCAUCUUAUUAUGGUACCGUCGUUCUAAGCAAUAAGAUGAAAAACAUGAUAAACAUCACAAUGCAACCAUAUAGUGACAUGAUAUUGCCAUUAUCAUCUUUGCUCUUUCGAUCUCCAUCUUCAGGCAUCGCAUGAUCAUCAUCGUCACCGGCGUGACACCAUGAUCUCCAUCAUCGUGUCUCCGUGAAGUCGUCACGCCAACUACUACUAUCACUACUACUAUAGCUAACCGUUAGCAAUGAAGUAAAAGUAGUAAGCACAUGGCGUUGCAUCUCAUACAAUAAAUUAAGACAACUCCUAUGGCUCCUGCCGGUUGUCAUACUCAUCGACAUGCAAGUCGUGAAACCUAUUACAAUAACAUGAUCAUCUCAUACAUCAUACAUGCAACAUCACAACUUUGGCCAUAUCACAUCACAUGUCAAACCCUGCAAAAACAAGUUAGACGUCCUCUAAUUGUUGUUGCAAGUUUUACGUGGCUGAUUUGGGUUUCUAGCAAGAACGCCUUCUUACCUACGUGACAGCCACAACGAUGAUAUGACAAAGCUAUUUACCCUUCAUAAGGACCCCUUUCAUCAAAUCCAAUCCGACUAGAGUAGGAGAGACACACACCCGCUAGCCACCUUUAUGCACGGUGUGCAUGUCUGUCGGUGGAACCAGUCUCACGUAAGCGUACGUGUAAAGUCGGUCCGGGCCGCUUCAUCCCACAAUACCGCCGGAAAAGAAUAAGACUAGUAGCAGCAAGCAAUUGACAAAUCAUCGCCCACAACCUUUUGUGUUCUACUCGUGCAUAGAAUCUACGCAUAGAAAACUUGGCUCUGAUACCACUGUUGGGUAACGUAGCAUAAAUUCAAUAUUUUCCUACGCAUAUUCAGAUCUUCCUAUGGAGAGACCAACAACGAGAAGGGGUUGAGUGCAUCUUCAUACCUUUGAAGAUCGCUAAGCGGAAGCGUUACUAGAACACGGUUGAUGGAGUCGUACUCGCGGCGAUUCAGAUCGCGCUGUGAUUCCGAUCUACUGUCGAACUACGACACCUCCGCGUUCAACACACGUGCAGCCCGGUGACGUCUCCCGCACCUUGAUCCAACAAGGACGAGGGAGAGAGUGGGGAAGAACUCCAGCAGCACGACGGCGUGGUGUCGAUGGAGAGAUGAGGCUUCCAGGCAGGGCUUCACCAAGCAUCGGCAGAGAGGAGGAGAAGGAAGGGCACGGCUGCGCCGAGGGAGAGGGAAAAGUGUGUACCCCAAUGGCCAAAAGUGCCCACUAUUUAUAGGAGGAGGGGACGGGGGGUGCCACCCCUAGGGUUCCCACCCUAGGUGGUGCGGCAGCCUCCCAGAUGGGAGGUGCGGCGGCCAAGGCAGGGAGGAGGGGUGGCGCACCCCUCUGGUGGGCCUUAGGCCCACCUGCGCUAGGGUUCCCCCCUCUCCCCUCUUCCUGCGCCAUGGGCUGAGUGGGGGGGGGCGCACCAGCCCACCUAGGGGCUGGUUCCCUUCCCCACUUGGCCCAUCUAGCCUCCCGGGGUCGUUGCCCCCCUUCGGUGGACCCCCGGAGCCACCUCCGGUGGUCCCGGUACGUUACCGGUGAUGCCCGAAACACUUCCGGUGUCCGAAACCAUCCGUCCUAUAUAUCAAUCUUUACCUCCGGACCAUUCCGGAGCUCCUCGUGACGUCCGGGAUCUCAUCCGGGACUCUGAGCAACUUUAGAUAACCUCGUAUAACAAUUUCCUAUAACCCUAGCGUCAUCGAACCUUAAGUGUGUAGACCCUAUGGGUUCGGGAGACAGGUAGACAUGACCGAGACACCUCUCUGGCCAAUAACCAUCAGCGGGGUCUGGAUACCCAUGGUGGCUCCCACUUGCUCCACGCUGAUCUCAUCGGAUGAACCAUGAUGUCAAGGAUUCAAUCAAUCCCGAAUAUAAUUCUCUUUGUCUGUCGGUAUAGAACUUGCCCGAGAUUCAAUCGUCGGUAUACCUAUACCUUGUUCAAUCUCGUUACCGGUAUGUCUCUUUACUCGUUCCGUAGCACGUCAUCGUGUGACUAACUCCUUAGUCACAUUGAGCUCAUGAUGAUGUUCUACCGAGUGGGCCCAGAGAUACCUCUCCGUCACACGGAGUGACAAAUCCCGAUCUCGAUUCGUGCCAACCCAACAGAUACUUUCAGAGGUACCCAUAGUGCACCUUUAUGGUCACCCAGUUACGUUGUGACGUUUGAUACACCCAAAUCACUCCUACGGUAUCCGGGAGUUGCACAAUCUCACGGUCGAAGGAAAAGACACUUGACAUUAGAAAAGCUUUAGCAUAUGAACAAUACGAUCUAGUGCUACGCUUAGGAUUGGGUCUUGUCCAUCACAUCAUUCUCCCAAUGAUGUGAUCCCGUUAUCAAUGACAUCUAAUGCCCAUGACCAGGAAACCGUGAUCAUCUAUUGACUAACGAGCUAGCCAACUAGAGGCUUGCUAGGGACACAUUGUGAUCUAUUUAUUCACACAUGUAUUACUCUUUCCUGUUAAUACAAUUAUAGCAUGAACAAUAGACGAUUAUCAUGAACAAGGAAAUAUGAUAAUAACCAUUUUAUUAUUGCCUCUAGGGCAUAUUUGCAACACUUUUUAGCCGGGUUGGGAGGCACCAGCCAAAAAACAAUCACACACAUGUGGGUGUGGCACAAAAGCACCGAGAAGUAUUAGUGAGAAGGAUUCUACAAAAUCAUGAAAAAAUAGCUAGCCCAUGGCUCCAUGACAGGUUCCACUAAAACGGUACUUCUUUCGUUCCGAAUUAGAUGUUGCGAGAACACUUUUUGCAAAAAGCAUGUUUUUCCUCCUUCCAUUUCUCUUCAUGUCGGCACCUUCUCCUCCUCUUCCUUGCCUCACAUUUCUCCCCUGCUCCUCGUCACCUCCUCAUCACCCCCUUCUCCUUGCUGGCUCCCUGCACUCUCCUUGUCGCACACGUCGGCAUCGCUGGAUCCACACUGCCUUUGUUGGAUGCAUGAAAAGGAUGAUUUUUGACCUUUUUUACUGACCCAACAACGACGAUUUUCAAUCCACUCACAGGGAAGCCGAAUCUGGUGGCGGCGAUGCGGUACUCGGCUUCCUGCCAGAUGUCACCCGGACGCGAGCACAUCUCGGACCCCUCCUGUGCUCCUCCUCCAUGCCUUCCUUCGACUGGUUGCCCAAAUCACCUACGGGAUGGCGCACAUCGCGACCACGCCGCUCUGAGUAGGGCCUCAACUACAAACUGCUAUGGUGAGCUCUUGUUCACCUCUAUUCCUCACCCGCGGUUGCUGUGAGUCAUGGCCAUCAAUCCACGACUAUGUCAUGUGUCUUCCUAUAGAUGCCAUGUGUAUCGAUGAGUUUUUUUGCCAAAAGUGUAUAAAUGAUUUUUUUGUGAAAUGUUAUGACACACCUAUUGUUGCUCGAUUGCUCAAUGUUCACUUUAGAUGGUGGUGACAUUAAGAAUAUACAUGUGCUAAGGUUUUUACCAUGGUUUGUAUCUUGCCAUGGAUGAAGCUAGGUUUACUUGAGUGCAUCAGCGAUAAUUGAGUAGGACUAAGAGUAUAAUUGAUGUUGCUCUACUCGCCUUAGGAUAUUGGUAUGCUAAUUGGGUCAAUCAUCCUUUGUAGUGUCGGAAUUAAUAGGGGGUCAUUUGGUCUUCUGUAAUGUCAACAUGGUCUUGUCAUAGCGCAUCUAGCGGGGUUGCAAACUAACUCAUGGUUUGGUCUCGGCAUGAUCAUAUUGCACGCUUAUGGACAUGGUAUGUGCUUGCUCCCGCACGAGUUGUUGGGAUUUGCCAAGUGUAAGGAUGAAGCGGAACAGUAGCAAGUAUUUCUCCCGGUUAGAUAAGCAAGGAUAUCAAUCAAGUAGGAGUCUCCCAGCUGACAAAGUCAACAUCACCUGCCCGCAAAACACACACUCAUCCCCCAACAUGACAAGAGGGUUGUCAAUCCCAUUUUUUCUAUUUACAUGAUUAAACACAAGUGAUAGAGAUAGUUGGUAGAAAACUAACAAGAUAACAAUAGCAAUAGUCUAGAAGAAUUCAGUAAUGGAAAAUAGACCCAUGGGCAUAGGUACACUAGUGGUAUCUCUAAAUUACAAGCAAAUGACAAGGCAAACAAAUUAUAGUUGGGCAACAUUUAAAUUUCAAUAUCUAUAACUACAAUCAUUCAUGGUAUAAUCUUGUAUAGGCAUUACGUCCGUGAUAAUUAGACCGUAUCUACUAUUAAUACUCCACCCCAAAACCAAUAUCUAGCAUGCAUUUGAAGGUAUUAAGUUUACAAGAAUUGGAGUAUCGUAAUAAACAAAAUGGCAUAAUAUAGGCACAAACAUAUCAAUCAAUAUGACAAAACCCCACCAUUUUAUCAUUAGUGGAAACAAUAAAAUACAUGUCUUAGCCCUUUUGUCACUGGAUUAUAUCAUCUCAAGACUGAACCCGCUGAAAAGCACAACUCCAUGUGAAGAAAAACCGCCUAAAACAUGACCAUAGAAGAUAGAUAGAUUGGAGAGUAUGCAAAGUUAUUUAAUUAUAAAUCAAGAAAACAUCAAAAAGAUUCAAUUGAUUUCAAUGAACAAUCUGAUCAUAAAGUGACAAUAUAUCAUAUCCCAACAAACGCACCAUCGAUUAUAUGGAAAUGAUCUUUAUCAUGUGAGGAAGCUCAAGGACACAUGGUGUUGAAGAUCCACAAAAGAGAGAGAGAGAGACAGAUGCAUGUUGCUACUACUAUGGACCCUAAGGUCCUAAUGGAACCACUCACACAUGGUCAUGGAGGCAGGAAGGAUGAUGAAUAAGACUCCAACAAUGGGCUUCCCCCUCUAACAGAGCUCCGAAACAGGCUUGCGAUUGGAUCUUUGUGAAACAGGAACUUGCGGUGGCGAUAGAGUUCUUCUAAAAAUACGGCAAAGGGUUUCGAUAUUUAUAGGGAUUUAUGGCAGUGGAACGGAGGUAAGGCGGUUGCUCUGGUCCCACAUGCCCUGGUGCCCUAGGUGUAGGGUGUGCCACCCGACCGUGUGGGCCCAUUGUGGCUCAUCUUCUUGUUCCCUAAAGAUUCCACGGUCCUUGGUUGUCUAGAAAAAAUCAUAAAAAUUGGAAUCUUGUUUAGACCUUCCUAAAUAUUGAUUUCUUGCAAAACUAAAAACAUGCAGAAAACAAGAAGUGACACUAGGAGGUUAGUCUAGAAAAUAGUAUAAGUUCCUAUAAAAAGUAUGUAUAUAAGUGAUAAUAUAAUAGCAUGAAAUAAAAAAUUAUAGAUAUGUUGAAACGUAUGAGACUCCAUUAACUGAAUUAGGUCAUGCUUUUGUCAUACUACAUAAUCUAAUUUAAUAGGAUAUUAUGUUAACUGAAUUAGGUCAUGAGCUAAUUUAACUCAGUUACUCAAAUCAUGUAGUACUCCUAUAUGAAUUACUCUCUGAUGUUAAACUUGAUGGAGCAUGAGAAAUAUUAAUUAGUUUUUGUUCAUUCACAUAAAGGAGAUGCCUUUACAAAGUUCGAUAUCGCUGCUACUGAGUGAUGUUAUUUUUCUAAACUUAGAAUUAGAUGUGUCACUCCGAGGAUAAUUAAGUGCGCGAAUUGAAUGAAUAAUGACAUGUCCCAAACGUAUAUACUUUUCGAAACACUUUUUAUUUUGUUUUGGAAUCUAAUUUACAUGAUUUGAAUGAAACUAACCUGGACUCGUGCUAUUUUCAACACACCUACGUUGGUGUACUUUUUGUGCACAAAUGAAAGUUCUCGGAAUUGGACUAAACUUUUUGAAGAUUUUUUAUGGAAUAUAUAAAAAAUAGUAAUGUAAAGAACCACCGGAGGCGGGCAGGAGUUUCCCACAAGGCAGCAGGGCGCACCCACUCCCCGGGCCCACUCUGAUGCUUUGUGGGGCCCACGUGGCUCCGCUGACCCUAAUUCCAAGCCUAUAAAUCCCUAUUCUCCGAGGAAAAAUAGUAGAGAAGUUUUCAUCGUGUUUUGCAAGAUGAAGUUGCCGCCACCUCCUAUUCUUCCUCGGGAGGGUUGUUCUGGAGUCUAUUUGGAGCUCCGAAGAGGGGGGUUCGUUUUUGUCGUCAUCACCAACCCUUCUCCAUCAGCAAUUUCAUGAUGCUCACUACUUGGAGUGAGUAAUUCCUUCGUAGGCUUGCUGGAUGAUGAUGGGAUUGGAUGAGAUUUGUCAUAUAAUCGAGUUAUUUUGAUAGGGCUUGAUCCCUAGUAUCCACUAUGAUCUAAGAUUGGUAUUGCUAUGACUUUGCUAUGCUUAAUACUUGUCACUAGGGCCCGAGUGCCAUGAUUUAAAAUUUGAACCUAUUAUGUUUUCAUAAAUAUGUGAGUGUUUUGGAUCCUAUCUUGUAAGUUGUAUGCACCUAUUAUGUGUCAUGAUCCGCAUACCCCAAGGUGACAAUAAUUGGGAUUCUUUUGUGUGAUUAUCGUAGUUUGAGAACUUCAUGUAUUCACUAUGUGUUAAUGCUUUGUUUCAGUUCUUUAUUAAAAGGAGGCCUUAAUAUCCCUUAGAUUUCCUUAUGGACCACGCUACCAUGGGAAGCGUAGGACAAAAUAUGUCAUGCAAGUUCUUACUAGAAGUACGUAUGACUAUAUAUGAAAUACAUUCCUACGUGACAUUGAUGAAUGUUAGUUCUGUUCGCUCUAGUGUGUAACUGUUACAUGAUGAAUGUCAUCUGAUAUACUUAUCCAUCACCGAUCCAUUGUCUACGCUUCUUGCAUAUUGAGCUUUGCUAAGUUAUUAUUGUUGUUGCUGCUAUUACAAUCACUAUAAACUAUUACUGUUACUCUUUCUAUUAAUAUUUUGUUGUGCUACUAAAACUUUGCAGUAGAAAGAGAUUCCACGCGUGGUUGAAUUAACAACUUAACUGCUAAGACCAAUAAAUAUUCUUUGGAUCCCUUUGUGUCGAAUCAAUAAAUUAGGGUGUAAUACUAUUUGUGAAGAUAGUUGUGAUCCCAUAUACUUCUGGGUUAUCAAGACAUUUUUCUUGCGUCAGGGGAGCAUAGCUCUGUUUAUUGAGUUCCCUUGGGAUUCUCACUUAUCGUGAUGAAAAAACUGAAAGACCCUAAGACUAAGAUCAUACCCUCUAAGACGAGGGGAGGUAAGAAACUGCCAUCUAGGUGAUGUGGCCUUAGUUGAUAAAAUGAAAGUGUCACUCAUGACAUGUUUAGCACGAGCAUAACACACACAUCCAACAACGCAAGUAAGUUUCUCAUGUAUUUGCUUAUAAAAGACGUUUUCCAAUCACAUGGUCAAGAAGAUCUAUCCAAACACCACAAUAAAAAAGGAAAAAUCAUACACUCACGAACGAUUGGCUAUGCAUUGGUCGUAGCAAACAUUCUCCCACCAAUCAAUACUGGUUUUUACCAUUGGCCCCACUCUCCUCCUCAUUUCUGAUCAUAAAAUUUACACAUGCAACCGUAACCAUGAUUUCAUAAAGUCUGUCCAUAAAAGUAGCAUAUCCGAUAAAACACACACUCAAAUAUAUCCCCGCACACUCCAAAUCAACUAAUACGUAAAUAGUUUUCAGAACUUCAAAAAAAUUACGACGUAAAAGUGAAACAAAAAAUCCAAAAACAUAAGCCACGCGGCAGAACGCGUACUACCCUUCUAGUCUUUAAGUGAUGGUCAAUGAGAUUUUCUCGUGCAUGCAUGAUUAGUCAGAUGAAAAGAUAGAGAGGGGCAAUCAAUACUGAAGAGGUAAUAAUUUGAUUAUUAAACUGAAUAGGUAGUGCUGCACAUCACUAGGGGCAUGCACCAAUGAGAGAUCUCAUUUGUGAGGCAAGAAUAUCAUAUACCAGGAACAAAAUAGAAUAAUCCAUGACUGGUUGGAUAGAGUGGACCUAUGACAUGUGGAUGCAUGGCCAAUCACUUCAAAUCAAUUAAUUAAUUUCCAUUUGAUGCCACGAUGUGCAUACAGAUCGAUCGGAUUGAUCCCUUCCCGCGAGCCACGAGCAUAUGUUGGUGUGUGUGUGUGCGCGCGUGAAGAAGUCGUUGAUUAGUUUGAAGGCCAGAUCGAGCAUUGCAAUUUGAAGAAGUGGUUGAUGAACUCGUUUCUACAGGCUAAGUGGGUGUCAGCAAUCGACUUGGUACACCCGGGCAUACAUAUAACAUGAAUAUAGUGUCGAUCUGACCAUGGAUGCAUCAGAGAUGGGAGAAACGAGGACAAUGAUACCUUUAGUUCACCAGGGAUUGAACCUUAGGUUUGGCGUUUUGUCGUCUUAUAAAGAUGGAAUAUUAUUUCAGUAGGAGACCAUAUUUUACUCGAUAGAAAGGCGUUUGUGGUGAUUUCGUUAAUUUCAAACCCAUCGGCUUCAACAAUCCUUGAAAACAUCCUUGCUAGGACCUUAGGGCAUGUACAAUAGUGUCUAUUCAACCAUCUGCAACACAAUCCACAUAGGUAAUUAGAUGAUGUUGGAGAAAGAGAGAGAUUAAAAUGGUAUAGUCCGUCGGUAGAAGUAAUAACAGUCCAUGAAAAUCGUUGAUUAGAGACAGCCUAUUUCCCGUUGUACCCAGAGCGUUGUCGGAUGGGAUCUCCUCUUCCAUGGAAACCACCUCUCUCAUGUUCUGUGAAAUUUGGUGAUUAUCGACAGUCAAAUAGACUCCCUGAUGUAUAGGCCAUUCCUUAUGAUGUCUAUACAUGACGUGAAGAUCUUUUACACACACCCAUCGUCGGAACGGUUGUACAUGCCCUUAGGGGUGAGGAAGUACCAAAUCCAAGAAUGACUUAUAAAGUGGAACCAAGUUAACACACAAGAAACUGAAAGCCCAUGAGGAUAAUUAGAUCAAAAAAUGCAAAUAGAGAAAACACAAUGGAAAAACAAAGAUGACAACAUGAGUAAGAGAGUGGAGAAGCGGCCAAUCUCCAAUAAUAGCACUCAGGCCUAAGAACAGGUACAAAUAGAAAACAAACAACCACUAAAAUGACUUGCAACUGAGAGGAGGAAAGAAAAAGGCCGACGAGUGAGGAGAAGAGGCGCAAAGGAAACCAAAUAUAACAAACACCCAGAAAAAGGAAGAAAUUAGCAUGAACAUUGCAGCAUAGAAACAAGGGCUAUUAUCUUUUUGCCCUCACUGGUGUCCAUGUGCUCAAUUUUGCCCCGAGUUACGAAUCGUGUUCAGUUUUGCCCCUAGAUUGUGCAAAACUACUAUGACGAGGCCAAACGGGCAGUUUUGAGUCCAUUUCGUCUAUUGACGUUAGUGGUAGUGGGUCCGGAGCUUACACGUGGGACCGCGUGGACGUGGGUCCGGAGCUUACAUGUGAGACCGCGCAACAACGUCCCCAAAUCAAUCCUAGGGUUCUAACCGUGCCACUCAACGCCACUCUGCCCCGUCCGCCGCCCGACCAUCCUGCACCGCCGUCGCCACCUGCGCUGCCGCCACCACCUUCGCCGCCACUAGCUUUUCUGCCGUGGCCGCGGCCACGACCAUCCUGCUCCACCCGCCACCUUCCUAUGAUGCCACGGAUGAGGCGCCCCCACCUGCUCGACCCACGGCGUGGCCUCCUUCCGUGCACUCGGCCGGAGCGCUGAUAGGUGGGGGGCUGGUGCACACAGAGGAACUAUGAGGGUGAACCCUAGGGUGAAAUGUCGAGCGACGGCAACCUCGGUGUAUUUGGCUAGGCAGGCAUUGGGCCGGAUAUCCGCUGCGUCCACGACUGGGUUCCCGAGGGGUAACUCAGGCCUCGUGUUUAGAUUGAGCUUAGUUGUGCAUUUCUACAGUCGAUUUGAGUUGGUUUGUCCGGUUAGUUUAGCUAUUGGUGUGCUGAUUGCGUCUGUGUUUUUUGUCGGUUAGGAUGGAGUUGCGGUUUGCUUUCUUGGUGCACAUUAGAAGGGACCGGUACAUGUUGAAUGCAAAGAAUAAGAAGAAAUUCCAAGGAGGUUUCAAAUAUCUGUUGCCAAUGGCUUGUAAUUGGAGUUUCAUACAAUUUGGGGAGGUAAUUUGCAACCAAUAUCCUUGGGGUUUGCUUGAUGAAGUGGAAUACAAAUACUACGAUGGGGAAAAUAAAUGGGUGACAGUUAGUAAUGAUGAAGAGCUGGCUACCAUGUUUGCUAGGCAUAAGGAUAAAGAGAAUUUUCAUGUGAGUGUGCAAAUUGAUGUGCGUGAGCAAGCAUUUGGACCUAGGAUGGCGGGUGCACCUUCUCAGGGAGAACCAAGUCAUCAUAAUGGCCGCUCUAGCGAGGAUAAUCCAGUUAGUGCACGGCAACGUGGUGACUCGACAUGCAUGGGCACCGGUAGUAGGGUCCCCCUUGAAGUGGAGCCUAAUGCCUACAAUUCUAGGAUUGAUGAAGAGAAGCUAUGUUCUGAUGUUAUUCAGAAUUUACGACGGGCGCCUCGGGCUGAAAACCAAGAUGAGGCUGACAAUGAUGUCCAUGUGGAUGGUGACGUGGUGGGUGAGGACGAAGACCUUGCAACUGUUUAAUAGGACCCUUUGAACCCUCAUAUGGAAGAAGGUGUUGGGGAACGUCGCAUGGGAAACAAAAAAUUUCCUACGCGCACGAAGACCUAUCAUGGUGAUGUCCAUCUACGAGAGGAGAUUUGGAUCUGCGUAACCUUGUAGAUCACACAGCAGGAAGCGUUAAGAAACGUGGUUGAUGUAGUGGAACGUCUUCACGUCCCUCGAACCGUCCCACGAACCGUCCCGCGAUCCGUCCCACGAUCCGUCCCGCGAUCCGUCUCAUGAUCCGUUCCGAUCUAGUGCCGAACGGACGACACCUCCGCGUUCAGGACACGUAUAGCUCGAUGACGAUCUCCACCUUAUUGAUCCAGCAAGAGGGGGCGGAGAGGUAGAAGAGUUCUCUGGCAGCGUGACGGCGCGCCGGUGGUGGUGAUGAUCUACUCCGGCAGGGCUUUGCCUAAGCUCUGCAGAAAUACGAUCUAGAGCAAAAACUGUGUGGUGAGCAGCACGUGGCAAAGUUGUCUCUCAAAAACCCCCAAUACCUCUAGUAUAUAUAGGAGGGAGGGAGGGGAGGAGGCAGCCUCAAACCCUCAAGGUUUGGCCGAAAUUGGAGGUGGAGGAGUCCUACUCCAAUCCUACUUGGAGUAGGAUUCCACCUUCCCACUUGGAAACUCUUUCCACCUUGUGUUUUUUCCUUCUCAAACCUUAUGGGCCUUAGUGGGAACUUAUUCCAGCCCACUAGGGGCUGCUUUAUAUCUUCCCAUAGCCCAUGAGACCCCUUGGGGCGUGACACCCCUCCCGAUGGUCCCCGGCACCCCUCCCGACACUCCCGGUACAUUACCGAUAAGCCCUAAACUUUUCCGGUGACCAAAACAGAACUUCCUAUAUAUCAAUCUUUACCUCCAGACCAUUUAGGAGCUCCUCGUGGCGUCAUGGAUCUCAUCCGGGACUCCAAACAACUUUCGGUUACCAACACCUAUAACUCAACUAUACUGAAAACAUCGUCGAACCUUAAGUGUGCAGACCCUGCGGGUUCGAGAACUAUGUAGACAUGACCCGAGAGACUCCUCGAUCAAUAUCCAAUAGCGGGACCUGGAUGCCCAUAUUGGAUCCUACAUAUUCUCCGAAGAUAUUAUCGGUUGAACCUUAGUGUCAAGGAUUCAUAUAAUCCUGUAUGUCAUUCCCUUUGUCCUUCGGUAUGUUACUUGCCCGAGAUUUGAUCGUCGGUAUCCGCAUACCUAUUUCAAUCUCGUUACCGCCAAGUCUCUUUACUCGUUCCGUAAUACAAGAUCCCGUGACUUACACUUAGUCACAUUGCUUGCAAGGCUUAGGUGUGAUGUUGUAUUACCGAGUGGGCCCCGGGAUACCUCUCCGUCACACGGAGUGACAAAUCCCAGUCUUGAUCCAUACUAACUCAACGGACACCUUCGGAGAUACCUGUAGAGCACCUUUAUAGUCACCCAGUUACGUUGUGACGUUUGAUACACACAAGGUAUUCCUCCGGUGCCAGUGAGUUAUAUGAUAUCAUGGUCAUAGGAACAAAUACUUGACACGCAGAAAACUAUAGCAAUCAAACGACACGAUCAAUAUGCUACGUUCAUAGUUUGGGUCUUGUCCAUCACAUGAUUCUCCUAAUGAUGUGAUCCCGUUAUCAAGUAACAACACUUGCCUAUGGUCAGGAAACCUUGACCAUCUUUGAUCAACGAGCUAGUCAAUUAGAGGCUUACUAGGGACAGUGUUUUGUCUAUGUAUCCACACAAGUAUUGUAUUUCCAAUCAAUACAAUUAUAGCAUGGAUAAUAAACGAUUAUCAUGAACAAAGAAAUAUAAUAAUAACUAAUUUAUUAUUGCCUCUAAGGCAUAUUUCCAACAGAAGGUACCGUUUUUGGAUCCAUGAGUGAGUGUAGAAAUGCACUUGUGACAUACACCAUCAAGGUAGAACGUACUUUCAAAGUUGACAAGAGCGAUCAAGUACGUUACAAAGUGCACUGUCCGACUGAGGGUUGUCCAUGGAGGAUGCUCGCAUCUAAAAUGCAAAAUAGCACGAAUGUUGAGGUCAAAGUGAACCCUUUUAAGCACAAACGCCAAGAAUCAACCCUUAGGAAGGAUACAAUCUAUAGAGCCAAGUCAAGAUGGGUGGCGGAAGAAGUAAAGAAGUGGGUGAAAGAAAACGAGCAAGUGGGUCCAAAGGAAUUGCACAAGAACAUCAAAGACAAGUUUAAGAUAGAGUUACCGUACAUGAGGUUGUUCAAUGGUAAACAACAUGCUAUGGAUUCUAUUUAUGGUAACUCGCAGGAAAUUUUUCAAUUGUGGUAUUCAUUCAAAGGUGAAGUGGAGAGGACGAGCCCAGGUAGUAUUGUAGAUAUUGACCACCACACCAUGGAGUACACAUUCAGGAGAGUGAGAAAGACCAAGGAAUGCUUUAGGAGGGUUUUUGUCUACUUUGAGGUUUGUUGCCGGGGUUUUAUGGCAGGCUGCAGGCCGUAUUUGGCUAUUGAAGAUACUUUUCUCACAAGGACGUUUAAAGGACUGUUAGUAGUAGCUUGUGCAGUUGAUGCACAUAAUUUUGUAUUUCCAGUUGCGUACAGUGUGCCGGAGACAGAGUCUGAGGAGAGUUGGACUUGGUUUUUGCAUAAUCUGUGCUGGGCUAUUGCACAUAUCAAUGAGUUGGUAAAUCAUACAGAUGCGUGCAAAGGUUUAGAAGUGGUCGUCGAUAAUGUAUUCCCUGGAGUAGAGCAUAGGGAAUGCAUCUGUCACCUUGCUGCAAAUUUUGUCAAGAAAUACAAAGGAAAGGUGUAUACCGACAAUUUAUGGCCAACAUCCUUGACUUGGAGUGUGAAGAAGCACAACUACCACUUGAGGAAGUUAUACACGAAUCCCAAAGUGAAGGAAUACUUGGAAACACACCACUCCAAGUUAUGGGCCAGAAGCCAAUUCAGUGAACUGAGAAAAGUUGACUACGUGCACAAUAAUAUAGUAGAGUCUUUCAACUAAAUGAUACGGAAACUAAAGGGUCAUUAUGUGGUGGAUUUGCUUGGUAGAAUAAUGAUAGAAUACAUGCAGAAAUUUCAUUAUCGUGCAUGAAUAGCCGAGACAAAAUUCAUGGGCCACAUUAUCAUCCCUGUCGUGAUGAAUGAACUAAAGCAGAAAACAACAGGCUUGGAAAUGAACAUGAAUCUUUGCUCAGGUACCACAACAGAGAUAUCAUAUUUGGAUAAAGAGAAGAGGGAAUGGAGAUAUCCGGUGUAUGUAGAAGUUAGAACUUGUAGUUGUAGGCAAUGGCAGAUAACUGGGUUGCCAUGCAUUCAUGCCUUGUUUUUCAUCACUUCUGUCUCAGGUCCAGCAGGGAAUAUACAUCAGUAUGUGUAUGAUUACUACUCUGUUGCAAGGUUCAAAGCCACAUAUGUGUAUGCCUUGCUUGCUAUGGAGGGAAAACAACAAUGGGACAUAGUGGACCCUGGAUUCAAGCUUUGCGCUCUAGUUCUGAAGAGAUCAGCACGUAGACCAAAGAAGAGUCGAAUCAAACCUCGCAGCGAAGAAGCUGGACUUGGAGCGAGGAAGCGUAAAUGCACAAGGUGUGGUGGGUCUGGUCAUUUCGCUAAGUAUUGUGAUAACACAGUAGAUCCAGCGUUCGGAGAGUGUUUCGAUGAAGGCUUCCAUGAAGCUUCAAUGAAAAUGUUGAUCAGCAACUGAUUGUCGCAAUAGAUGAUGAAAAUGAUGGUGAACACUCGGUUGCAUCAGAUGGGGAUUUUGACGAGGUUAGAAAUGAUGAUGGUCAACAACCGCAUGAUUUUGACGAUGAUCCAAAAUAUCCUCCAAAUGAUGAUUCAAGUGAAGUGAGGCCCCAAAUGGUGAUCCAAGUGAGGACCCAAAUGAUGAUCCAAGUGAGGCUCCAAAUGGUGACCAACCGUUUGUCGUUGUGAGUUCUGCUAGGUAUGCAAAUCUUGCAAAUACUAUUGUACAUUUAUCACUUGACAUGAUCUCAUUACCCUUGAUAUUUUGUACAGCUCUGCGGAGGUUUGAAGAAGACGCACAAGGUACCGACAACCAAGAGGAGAAGAGAAGAAGCAAUGAGCACAAUGAGCACAAGGUGCACGAGGAGCAAAGUGAUAGCAAGAAGCUCAAGGAUCAAACAGAAGCCCCAACACUAUUUAUGAAUAAUUAUGAAACAUUAUGAAUAAUGUUGUAUUCUGUUAAAUGAUGUUGGACCUAUGUUGACAUGCUAUUUGGAUGUUGCAAUUCUUUGAAAACUUUGGUAGGGUAAACUCACAUUCAUGAAAAAUGUGCUAAAGAAGAGCUCCAACGGUAGGGUAAACAGCCUCAUUUCUAAGCAAGGUUUUUUUCGACCUUGUCUAAAUCAGCCAAAUAACUUUAUUACACAUAUAUUCUAUACAUACACACUAUGUGCAUUUGUUUGUUUGUUUUGCUCAUUUGAAUUCUGGUCAAACCUAACUUUGACCAAGAUUUAAACAAGUCUAAAACAUCAAAAUGAAAAACUAACCUCGGAUCCUUCUUAGUCACUUCAAAAUGAAGCUGUGGUGAGGUUUUUGAAAAUUUCAUGUUCCAAACCUCAAACCACUUCUCUUCACUUCAUACGUCAGAAUUUUUCAUUUGAAUGUAAGUGGACCUUGUUUAUCAAACCUAACUUUCACUAGUAUAUGACAUAAGAAGACUAUGUACGCUGGUUUUUCAUUUUUCUGAUUUUUUUGAAUUCUGGUCAAACCUAACUUUGACGAACAUUUAAACAAGUUUAAAACAUGAAAAUGAAAAACUAAGCCUCGAACCUUCUUAGUCACUCCAAAAUGAAGUUGUGGUGAGGUUUUUGAAAUUUUCAUGUUCAUUUCCCCAAAACACUUCUCUCCACUUCAUAUAAGAGAGUUUGAGAUACUUGAGAUGUCACAUGAGACACAUGAACUUUUCGUUUAAAUGUAUGUUGACCUUGUUUAUCAACUUAAAUCGCUAGUAUAUGACAUAAGAAGACUAUAUGUGCAGGUUUUUCAUUUUUCUGAUUUUUAUUUAAUUUAUUAUGCUCAUUUGUAAUCUGGUCAAACCUAUCUUUGACUCCUCCGAACCCCUCCCAAACCCCGCUAACUCUAGCGCUGAACAAGGACCGUCCAUCUAACCCUAGCAUCGAACAAGGACCGUCGAUCUGCGGGGAGAAGGAAGGCGAUCCGCGAGAUGCAAUGUGAUUGGCUGGGCGUUUUUUUCUCAACACGCAUAGUGGGCGCGCUGGAUGGACCGUUGGACCGUCUCGCUGUCCGGGCAUGUGAGCGUUAUUAAUGCCCGUCUCAGCCUUUCCAGGUCUGCAUGCAUGGGAAGUACGACGACUUGGGCAUGCAUGCGCGAGAGGCGGACAUGGGCAUGCAUGCGCGGGAGGCAAGCGACGUGGCUAUGCACGGAUUGAUUCAAAUUACGCAAUGAUGCACAUGCCCGGUCAAACAACAGCCCUAUCGUUUCGGUGCCCGGAUACAUACGCAUGUGCCCGGAUACACACGCAUGCGCCCCAUCGGUGUCAAAACUUAAUCGAUACACAUGCACACGCCCGGAUUCACACACACACCAUUCACAUCCCUUCUCUCUUGCCCUCCCACUCACACGCCUAUUUCUAUGCCUCUCUUCCUCUCCCACUCACCACCCAAGCUAGAUCCAUUCUCUCCAACUUCAAACACCCAAGCGAUCGAGCCCUCCAUCCUCUUCGAGAACCUCAAGUACCAAGUGAAGAUGCAGUACAAUGGGCCGACCUUCCUUCGUCCGCCUGUUGUGCCAGAGCUGGACUACCCACCGAAUGUGCUCGUGGAAAGCGAGCCCCGUGUGUGGGCGACUUCCAAGUGGAGGGGGUCCGUCGAGCUCGACCGCGCCUUCCUCACAGCCGGCUAUGCCCACCUGCCACGGGGCUCGUCUAGGAUGUUCGCCCUCAACAAGGUUCGUGACCGCGUCAGCACCCUCGUACUGCUCACGGUCACCUUCGCCAACCAGUUUGAUGCGCGCGAGCUCCUCGACCAAGUGUAUUGGUGCGGCUGCGAGUCCAUCUUCUUCACGGUGUACAACAUCUUCACCAACUACGAGUGCAUCUUCCCCAUCGAAAACCAGAUGCACUCCCUUCCCUACGACGAGGAGGAUGAGUGAAGUUGAAGACGGUGGUGAAGCGGCGCGAACAAGGUGGAAGAAAGGUCAAGAUGAAGAUGUUCAAGAAGGGGUGCAAGCCCGGAGUGAAGUUGUUCGUCAUGAUCGUCAUGUUUUAGUUUUAUCGGUUUUAUGUUGUUGCUUUUCUAUGUCGUGCGUGCUGUGUCGUGUCAUGUCAUCCCUGGACUUAUUUAUGUAGGGUACCCAUCUAUGUAAGGGUAUGGUGGGUUGCAUCUUAUCCAUCUAUGUUAUUAUGUGUGUUCAAAAAUGUCCGUGCACACAGAUAUCAUUUCUUCCCUAAACCAAGUCAUGAACUAACAUGCACAUUUAUUCUCUUUAAACCCUAAACCAAGUGUCACUCUAACCAGAAUCAUGUGGCAGUGCAAACAUGCGUUUCCAACCCUCCAAAAGUUCAGUACAAAACAAAGGAAAACCACUCCCACGCGUGUGCAAACAUUCAGUACAAACAUGUGUUUUUAAACCCUAAACCAAGUCACGGUCUCACUAUGUAUAGUUUUCUUCCCUAUCCAUGUCAAAGUCUUUCCAUCUGCCCUAGCGGUUACCAGCGCAUCCCUAAACGCCACAAACCAACGCGGUCCUGGGUUCGAGUCCGAGCCGCACCAAUUUAUUGUGCAUUUUCCACCCUUCUUUUUUUAGACAAAUUAUUUUUUUCUCGAUGUAAUGCCCUUAAAAAAUGUUCAUUAAUUUUGGCACCACGUGUAAACCUCAACGAGAGCUAGAGCUGAGAUCUCAUUUGCCCACCCCCGAAUGGGCCUAAUUGGAUGCAGUUGGCCCAUUAGUCUAGCCGGCAAUUGGCUCUCGGCUCUGAAUUUGGCCCACAAAGAAACCUUCUUUUUUUUACAGAAAGGCAGAGAAGAGAGCUCCAUUUCAUUUAUCAAAGUUUCUGAAUUUCUCAUUUCUUCUCCCUUUUUCAACAUAUUUAAUUGUUGGUCAUUUCUUCUCCCUUUUUCAACAUUUAAACAACUUUUACCAACAUUUAAAAAAGGUGAAUUUCUCAUACAAUUUCAAGCUUACAAAUUCCUCCAUAAUUCAUGCCUUUCCAUACAAUUUCAACAUUACACCCACUGCGAUUACCAUACCUACAAAUGCCCAAAAGUAAUUGCAAACGUGUAUUUGUGCUUCAUCUUCGAGCUUCCUAACCUUCUUGUUCAACCUCUUAAGCUCAACAACUAGCUCUCUGUCAUUGUGUGCUCCGCCCUCCAUCUCUUCUUCCGGAGCUCGUGUUGCGGCCACUAUCGUUCGUGGUAGGAUAGGCAACCAUUCUCCAUGAUCUUCUUGCAGUCCAUUCAUCAGAAUCUUGGCAAGAGCAUCAACCCAAAGGAAGAAACAUUUCACCUGCAUGAACGCCAAAGCAGAUCAACCAUAUUGCUCAAGGAUCCCGACCAUGAAAAUGGUGCAAUUGCCCCGAUUCUUACCCCAUUCUCCCUGCACAUGUAGAACAAACGAUUAUGGUUAUUCGAUGUGUGAGAAACCCUCCGAUCAACGCCCGCCCGACACCGCGGACAAACGAAUAUCGGCAUCUCCACGCGCAUUGGGUUGUGGGUCCGUGAGGUGGCGCGGGAGCUUGAAGAAGACAUCAAGCUCGGAGUCGAAGGGGAUCUCAAUGCCGCCGCGCCCUCCACAACAAUCUUCCCACCGCCGCGCUCUCUGUCGCCAGUGGUCACCGCCACUCUCUCUGUCACCCGCACCCAGCUCUGAGCUACCAACAGUGCUCACUGUUGCUCUCUCUGUCGCCCGUGCCCAAUUCCCCAGCCUAGCUGAUUGUUGCUCACCACUACGAGCUCCGGAGACGCACUCUGCUGCUUAUAUCGCACUCCCGCAAUGGCUCUCUGCUCAACAGCUCUUUGCUAAGUCCCACAAGCCACGAGAGCAAUGGUCUGAUCGUGUAGCGCGUCUCUGCCGCUUGGUCCCACUUGUAAGAGCCAAGUCAAAACAUUGACCUGACGGAGACGGCAGUGUUCACGGGACGAGUCGGUGCAGACAGACUAGGGACAAACUGAGCACGAUUCACAACUAAGGACAAAACCGAGCACACAGACACUACUAAAGGCAAAAGGAUAAUUAGCGCUAGAAACAACCCAACUCGAACAAAAACUAAUGAUCCAUCGAUCGCCGUCGAUGGCAAACAAAGCAACAAGGACGAGAAAACCCAAAGAAGCCCACGUGGUAAACAAAACAUAAUGGUGUGAGGGGAAAGCAGGGAAGAAGAAAACCAGGCUCCGUUAUAUAUCAAAACACCCCACACACACACCGACAUACCACACCCCAAGCACCCAGCAGCGAGCGCCUGCCAACCUGGGACAAACAAAUACAAGGCCAUCCAUCUACGAGGCAAGCCCGGAGCAUAAGGACGCAUUUGGUUGCCUGCAUGAGGCCCAACAAGGCCCGCACAGGAAGAAAAUAGGUUGUUUGGUUGGCUGCAUACACUGCUGGUCCUGCAUGGCAUGAUGUUUAAAGCAUUCGUGGGCCUGGCACCGUGGGAACGCUCGAAUCGACAGUUUCUCCAGAGCCACGCCCGAGCGGUGCACGUGGGCGACGGCGGCUGCACGCGCGUGGCCACUCUCGAGAAGCCGCAUUGCUUCCCGAAGCACUGACGGUUAUUAGCCUCACCGCUCCCUCUCCUCACUCUCCCCCACUCUCCCAACUCUCAACGGCAGCGGCAGAUCGGAGGAGAGAAAGAAGACUACCAGACUCCAUCACCGGCGAGUGGAUCCUCACCUGGCCCGCACCAAUGGUGGUACGCACUUUUCUGUUCGUCAUGCACUACUUUUUCGCCUUCGAUCCGGCGGUAGAUUCGAUCCACGGCGGAGAGGGGAAUGGGGGAAUAGAGGUAGACAAGCAUGGCACUUCAUACUAGUUCAUACGAGUUCAUACUAGUUCAUGCAUGAUCGGAAUAUAGGUAGAUGUGGAUGGAAUAGAAGGGGGAUUGGGGGAUUGGAGGUACACAAUAGACACUGGAUAACUGCACCGUUGAGGCGUACAGAGCGGCGGGUCGAGUGGCUCGCCUUCAUCUUCUUGUCCAUCGCCGUCCGGGGAGGCGCGUCGUCAUCGUCCGUGGCGGAGUCGAGGUCGAUCUGCCAGCUAUGACGGCCUGCCUCGGCGCCCUCACUGGCAUUUGCACCGGUUCUUCCUCCUCUUUAGGCUCCCCACCGAUGACCACCGGCGGCACGAUUGUCGUCUCCCAGUACAGUGCGGCACUACGGUCAUUAGGAGCCCAGUAGUUCUUGUACUUGGACCACCUCUUCCUCUGUUUAGUGUCACCGGAGAUGGCCUGAUUCAUGGCCCAGCGAAUGAUGUCGACUGCCAUCGCGCCCUUCGCUGGGUUAGGAAUCAACGUCUUCAACUCUUGUGCAGUGGCCCUCAUGAGCACUGCAUCAGAUUCCUUCUGCAUGUCAGGCAUGGAGCCGAAGUUUGAGCACACCUCCAUGGUGUUCUCAAACUUGGUGCGGUCACCAGUCGACCACCCAAGGAAGAAGGCCCUCGAGCCAAUACCCCAAGGGAAGGGGUUGGCGUUGGAGCUGGAGGUGGAGCUCAUGGUGAUGGAGAGGAGGAAGGUUGAUAGUAAGAGAAGAGAGGGGGUGGGUAAGUAGUUGUGACAGCCCGUUGCCGACGUUCCAGAAGAUUCCCCUUCUAUUCCGUUUUCGUCGUGUGUUAAUUCUUUUGUCGCAUCAUCAUCGCAUCAUGCGCAUCAUCAGCAUUGCAUCGGCAUCUCGUUGCCGCCCGUUUUCAAAACUUGCAUCCAUUAGUAGUUGCCGGUUCUCGUCGUUGUCCAUUCUGAGUCCGACCGCACACGCACGCGCCCGCGGCAUCGUCGGAACCCUGUUUUAAAAGUGUGUUGAAAUUUUUCUCUAAUCGGGUUGAGAUUUGACGUGCGGUCUUAUUUUAAUAUAGCUAGGCCUCCUGUCGAAUUUCGUCGCGAUCGGAGUCCGUCUGGUACCCGAACGGUCGACCGUAGCGGCACCGUCUUCGGUUAUUCGUCGGACGUCUGUCGGUGUUUUUAAAAUCCGUGCCGCGCCGCCCGUUCUCCCUCUCGUCUCCGGAUAUCCCCUUUACACGGCCGCGUACCCAUACCUGCGUUCGGAAUCGUCCGAAUCCGACCCCGCGGUUGGAUCCGGAACGCGAUUCCGGUUAACCGAGCCCCUCUUUUCUCUAUAAACACCCCCUCCAUCAUAUUUUUUGGACAGCCCCCUCCUCCACCUCGAAAUCCGUGCAAAACCUAACCCUAGCCGCAGCCUCCUCCCACCUCCUCCUCGCGCCGACGGGCCCGCGAGGCCUGCCGAGCCCAUCCGGCGCUGCCCCGUUCUCCUCCCAGCCCCGAGAUCCUCCUACCAGGAGCUGCGCGCCGCCCGAUCCGCUUCCCGCCGGCGUCCGCCGCCGCAGGCCGCCCCGAUCCAACCCCCCCCACCGCCGCCUUGCGCCUCUAGCUGCCGGCCACGGCCGCUGCCUCGCCGGUGCGCCGCCCGUUCUGCCUCAGCUCGCCCAGCCCUGCGCAGCUUCUCCUGCCGCCUCGUCUCUCCCGUGUAGGUCGGCGCCGCCUUGGAGAGCCGCCGGGAUCUGGCCGGAGCAGGCCCCGCCGCUCAGAUCGGGCCGCGGGCAGCUCAUGGACUGGGGACGAGGGAUCAACGAGAGGGACGAGAGCCUCACCCCGCCUGGGCCGGCCUCCCGCAGCGGCCCAGCUGGUCGUGCCCGAGCAGCCCAGGCCGGCUUCCUCCCAGCUCGGCCCAGUCGCACGUCCGCCCUAGGCCUGCCUCCCGGCCGUCAUGGGCCCGAGGCCCACUCAGGUGACCGCCCCCGAGCCCACUAUUCCCCGCCCUAGGUGGCUUAUACUAAGUUGCGCUCAAUGGUCGAUUCAGCCCUAAUUCGAAUCCGGCCCAAUAGCGUUUUUUUAGGAUUUAGAAUCUAAAUUCUAUUUCAGUUUUAUAUAGAUUUUUUUAAAACGUUCGUAAGUUUUUAACCGUAAGUCGGAUCGCGAAGAAUUAGAUAUGUAUUUCGUGUAGAUUUUCACGUAGAAUCCGAUUAUCCAACUUGCAUAAAUGUUUGACGAUAUUUAGCGUGCUGUGUGCAUGGAUUAACGUGCUGUCCUAUUAUGUUUGCGUCCCGUAUUAUUUUUCCGCGCGUGCUCGGACUGCCCGUAUACCGUAGAUUAAAUGUCCAUGUUUUAGGAAUCGUUUUUGCAUGUAUUUUAGUGCGGUCAAUUGUAUUUUUACGUGUAGGGNNNNNNNNNNNNNNNNNNNNNNNNNNNNNNNNNNNNNNNNNNNNNNNNNNNNNNNNNNNNNNNNNNNNNGUGUAGGGAUUUGUCGGUAUUUUAUUUUCCCGUGUAUAGGUUAUCUUUCCCGCAUUUUCGUGUGGCACUAUAUCGUUGUGCAACCCCACAUAUUUUAUAUGUUUCCGGGGUAGAAAAAUCCAUGUGAUUUUUCUGUGCAUUUAGUUUUAGCUUUUGAGUAAGUUAGUUCGCGAGAUAUUUUGCUAUGUUACCCUUUUGUUUAAUUCGUAGGAUUUAUUCUGUGCUCGUUUGAAUUAGUUGUCAACUAGAGAGUUGAUCUUGGGUGUUUAGACUAGCCCCUGGUAUUUUUACUUGCAAUAGAAAUGCAUGUUUAGGUGUUUUUUGAUUGCCCGCAAGUUGUUAGAAAUAGUGCUGAUUUGGAGGAGCUGAAAUAUUUUUAAGUCUGGAAUCUGUUUUAUUUUGUUGCUGUCUUGUCUUGCUUGCAUCUUGUGAUCUAUAGCUCUUUUGAGGUUGGUCCAAUGGAGUUAGUUGUACCCCUUGUUUUUCUCUAGCAUGCUGUAAAUUUUCAUACCAUUUGGAGUCCUGUAGAUAUAGGUUUUGUUGUUGUCAAUAUUGCUUCAGAACGAAAACUGCACUUUCAUGAGGUGUAAUUUUCACUAAAUCUGAAAUAGUGUGUGAGAUGCCAUUUUGUGUCUUCUUUUCCUAGUGCUCCUUGCUGCCACGCUAGUUGUUGUUAGUUGUUUGUAGUAGUGCGUCUUGCCCUCUUCCGUGCUAUGCCUUGCUUGGGCAUAUCGGAGUUGUGUAGCCGUAGUUGUGGGGCGUAGUAAAUGCUAUGUGGCUGAUUUUGGCAGAUUGUAGUCAUUUCUUGUUUUGCUCGUAGUUGUUGAACCGUAGCUCCGAUUUGAUCGUGUCCUAUAUGAAACUUGCUUAGAAUCUCGUGUAGUAUCAUGUUCUCGUGCUGUUUGUAUGUUUUGAGGUGCUCAUAGCCGUCGUUGCACACAUAUUGCAUUCAUGCCAUCAUAUCUUGCGGUGCUUGUAUCUUUUGAACCGUAGCUCCGUUGGAGAUGACCCUUAUGUGUAGGUUGCUUGAAAUGACGCGUAGAAUCAUGUGAACCUAUUUGUUUUGCUGUUUAACAACCAAUUAAAUGCAUUAGUUCAGAUCUGGACAGAAUUGUAAAUUAACAUGUGAGGUCGUCUCGGAGGUGCUAUAUGUCAUUUCUGACCUCACUUAAAAUGUCUAGAUAGGUAGAUUAAUUGCGCCUCACCUCUUGCCAUGUUUAACCACGUUUAAUAUUGUCGUGUAUCUAAUCAGGACAGAACUAAAUAAUUAACGUGGAGUUUCGUCAAUAUGCAACUCGUUUCAUAUUGAAACUUCACUUAAUGUGUAGUGUUUGAUUGUGUGAAUUGUCAUGCCGUGACUUGCAUAUAUCCAGCUGCUCAUGCAUCAUUUGUGUUGUGCAUCGUGUGGUGAAUAUCGUGUGUUGAUUUGUGUUUCCGGUUUGCUUCGUCUCGAUAGAGUUCCGCAAGCGUGUCGGAUUGUGAGGACCCGUUCGACUACAUCGGUUCGCCUGCUUCACGGAGUCAUUCUUCUUCCAAGCGGGAUCUCAGGCAAGAUGAUCAUUUCCCCAGAUACCAUUACUAUCAUUGCCAUGAUAGUUUAUCGCUUCUAUCGAUUAUGUCUCGUUGCCUACCACCUGUUAAAUAUCAGCCUUCUCAACAAUGCCAUGCAAACCUUCAACCUGUUCAACCUAGCAAACCACUGAUUGGCUAUGUUACUGCUUGCUUAACCCUGUGUUAGCGUUGCUAGUUGCAGGUGCAUUGCUUCCAUGUGAAAGCAUGGGUUCCUUGUUAUAUCACCGUAUUUAAAUGCUAUUUAAUUUAAUGCACCUAUAUACUUGGUAAAAGGUGGAAGGCUCGGCCUUUCUAGCCUGGUGUUUUGUUCCACCUUUGCCCCCUAGUUUCCGGCUACCGGUGUUAUGUUCCAUAAAUGAGCGCUCCUAACACGAUUGGGGUUGUUAUGGGGACCCCCUUGAUAAUUCGUUUUAGAUUAAGACUGGUCUGGCAAGGCCCAACUCUGGUACUACAUUUGCCUAAUAACCUAAUAAUAAUGCAGAGGGACCUGCCGGCACCCCUUGAUAAUUCGUUUUAGAUUAAGACUGGUCUGGCAAGGCCCAACUCUGGUACUACAUUUGCCUAAUAACCUAAUAAUAAUGCAGAGGGACCUGCCGGCACCCCUUGAUAAUUCGUUUUAGAUUAAGACUGGUCUGGCAAGGCCCAACUCUGGUACUACAUUUGCCUAAUAACCUAAUAAUAAUGCAGAGGGACCUGCCGGCACCCCUUGAUAAUUCGUUUUAGAUUAAGACUGGUCUGGCAAGGCCCAACUCUGGUACUACAUUUGCCUAAUAACCUAAUAAUAAUGCAGAGGGACCUGCCGGCACCCCUUGAUAAUUCGUUUUAGAUUAAGACUGGUCUGGCAAGGCCCAACUCUGGUACUACAUUUGCCUAAUAACCUAAUAAUAAUGCAGAGGGACCUGCCGGCACCCCUUGAUAAUUCGUUUUAGAUUAAGACUGGUCUGGCAAGGCCCAACUCUGGUACUACAUUUGCCUAAUAACCUAAUAAUAAUGCAUAGGGACCUGUCGGCACCCGAGGAAAUUUAAUCAACCCCCCGGGCCAGUGUCCUCAUGAGUGUUGGUCCAAAUUGGCAGACUACGGGGCCACCGUGGGGCAACCCGAGGUUUGGUAUCUCCUAGUGUGACCCAUCCGUCGUGUCCUGAGAACGAGGUACGCGACUCCUAUCGGGAUCGUCGACACGUCGGGCGGCCUUGCUGGGUUAGUUUUACCUUUGACGAAAUAUCUUGUGCAUCGGGAUUCCGGUGAUGCUUUGGGUAAUCUCAGAGUCACUACUGGAAUCAGAGAUUUUGCCGUCUGCCUAUUCUUUGCCGUCUGCUAGCUGACGGCAAAGACACUCUUUGCCAUCAGCUUCAGCAAAACUGACGGCAAAGAACUAGCUGAUGGCAAAGAAGGUCUUUGCCAGCAGUCAACUCUUUGCCGUCUGCCGCAGACGGCAAAGAGGGCGCCAGCAGAUGGCAAAGAAGCUCAUCUGGCCGGGGGAACCUUAGGUCAACCUACUCCCUUCUUUGCCGUCUGUUGGCGGACGGCAAAGAUGCCACAGGCAGACGGCAAAGAGUAUAGACCCCUUUGCCGUCCGCCAGCAGACGGCAAAGGUCCUGAAUCUACUAACGGUUGUCCCGCCCCCACCACGGCCCUCUCUCUCUCUCUCUCAAACGGCACCUCCCUCUCUCUCCUCCCCCGACGCCCAACGCCGCCACCACUGUCGCCCGGCCACCCCCGGCGCCACCCCGGUGCCCCUGGUGCCGCCCACGAAGCCCCACNNNNNNNNNNNNNNNNNNNNNNNNNNNNNNNNNNNNNNNNNNNNNNNNNNNNNNNNNNNNNNNNNNNNNNNNNNNNNNNNNNNNNNNNNNNNNNNNNNNNNNNNNNNNNNNNNNNNNNNNNNNNNNNNNNNNNNUAGUCCUUCUCCUCCUUCUCCUCCUCCUCCUUCUCCUCCUUCUUCUUGAUUUCUUCUUCUUCUCCUCCUCCUCCUCUUUCUUCUCCUCUUUCAUAUUAUCCUUGCUUUAAUUAACCCAACAAUGACAUAAUUAGCCCAUUUAGCUCCAAAAUACCAUAAUAAGCUCAAAAUGGCAUAAGAACCUUGGUUAGCUCAUUAAUAUUAUAUACUUAGCUUGUUUUCCUCUAAAAUGGGAUAAUUAGCCCAUUUAGCUCAAAAAAGACAUAAUUAGGUAAUUUAGCUCCAACAAGAGGAGAAGAGGAGAAGAAAUAGGCAAAAUGAAAAGAAAGAAGAAGAAGAAGAAGAAGAAGAAGAAGAAGAAGAAGAAGAAGAAGAAGAAGAAGAAGAAGAAGAAGAAGAAGAAGAAGAAGAAGAAGAAGAAGAAGAAGAAGAAGAAGAAGAAGAAGAAGAAGAAGAAGAAGAAGAAGAAGAAGAAGAAGAAGAAGAAGAAGAAGAAGAAGAAGAAGAAGAAGAAGAAGAAGAAGAAGAAGAAGAAGAAGAAGAAGAAGAGAAGAAGGAGAAGGAGGAGGAGGAGGAGGAGGAGGAGGAGGAGGAGAAGGCCAAGGACCUUCUAUCCUUCUCCUCCUCCGAUCCUUCUCCUCCUCCUCCUCCUUCUUCUUCUUGAUUUCUUCUUCUUCUCCUCCUCCUCCUAUUUCUUCUCCUCUUUCAUAUUAUCCUUGCUUUAAUUAACCCAACAAUGACAUAAUUAGCCCAUUUAGCUCCAAAAUGCCAUAAUAAGCUCAAAAUGGCAUAAGAACCUUGGUUAGCUGAGUAAUAUUAUAUACAUAGCUAGUUUUCCUCUAAAAUGGGAUAAUUAGCCCAUUUAGCUCAAAAAAUACAUAAUUAGGUAAUUUAGCUCCAACAAGAGGAGAAGAGGAGAAGAAAUAGGCAAAAUGAAAAGAAAGAAAGCCAUGAUUAGGUAAUUUAGCUCCAACAAGAGGAGAAGAGGAGAAGAAAUAGGCAAAAUGAAAAGAAAGAAGAAGAAGAAGAAGAUGAAGAAGAAGAAGAGAAGAAGGAGAAGGAGGAGGAGGAGGAGGAGGAGGAGAAGGCCAAGGACCUUCUAGUCCUUCUCCUCCUCCUCCUUCUCCUCCUUCUUCUUGAUUUCUUCUUCUUCUCCUCCUCCUCCUCUUUCUUCUCCUCUUUCAUAUUAUCCUUGCUUUAAUUUUCGCAACAAUGACAUAAUUAGCCCAUUUAGCUCCAAAAUGCCAUAAUAACCUCAAAAUGGCAUAAGAACCUUGGUUAGAUCAUGAAUAUUAUAUACUUAGCUUGUUUUCCUCCAAAAUGACAUAAUUGGAAUAUUUUUGUUGAUCGGGUGGAUUUACAUGUGAUAGUUGUCUCGCCACUGUGAGGUCUGCUGUGCGAAGACCUGCACGUGCGUUGUACGAGCUCCGCCCCUGCAUUCGUGGGUCAGUACAAAUUUCAUCUCCUCCCCGUCCCUUCAUUUACUGUGGCUCGGUUUCCGGAUGAAACUUUCUAGAUUUAGGUAAUUCAAUUAAUUUAUCAGUAUGCGUGACCAGUAUGCGUCUCCCGUUCGAAAGGGCGACAUCUGUAAAUAUGCAUGUCUUUGCAUAUUUAUAACCGCCAUCCUUUCGAAUUGUCCAACAUUAUCCAUGGACAGCCCGAGUAUGUGUAGAUUGGGUUCGUUUUCCCGUAUGCUGUGCUCUGGAUCCGAUGCGGAAUUCCGUCAGUGCCUCCCUGUUGUUCUCCGGAUGCACAUGCUCUCUGUUUAUUGCGAAGACGUGUAUCAGGAGAACAGCGGGGAGGUGCUGUCGAAAUUUUUCGUUGGAUCCGGAGCAGAGCAUGGGAAAACGAACCGAAUCUACACAUACUCGGGUGGGAUUAGGACCUAUCUUUACCUAUUAGCAUGUAGGUUGCCUGGACGUAAUAAAAAUGGCGAACCUGAUUAACCGAUGAAUAAAAAUGCUAAAUUAUAUAUAAAUAUAUUUCUUCUGUCUUUAGUAGCUACGCAAGAUGAGUGAUCGUGCGUGGAUGUAUAUCGGUCACCCUAGUCAGAAAGAGAUGACGAAAGAAUGAUUUUUAAAAACAAAGGAAUUUUUGAAAGCCGCAUUCGCAAAUGGCCAGGAAAGAAACUAUUGCCCCUGUCCUGGAUGCGACAACUAUAAAAAGACGACAGAGGCUGUAAUGAUUAAACACGUGCAGAGGAGGGGUUUUAAGCCUAAUUAUACGGUGUGGACAUUUCAUGGUGAGUCUAUACAACGCACAAGAGCUGAGGUGGUCCGUCGUCGCACGGACGAGCAUGGUACCGAGAUCAAAGACAUGGUGCAAGACUUUGAUGAUGCUCGGGAUUCGGAAGAUGAGAUGGAGGAAUCUGCAAAGGCCUUUUAUGAAAUGUUGGAGUCUUCAAAACGUCCUCUCCAUGAGCACACUGAGCUCUGUCAGCUGGAUGCAAUUGCACAAGUAAUGGCUCUGAAGGCUCAGUUGAACUUGGGAAGAGAAUGCUACGACGCGAUGAUGACACUAUUUGGACGUUUCCUACCCAAAGGCCAUGUCAUGCCUGCAAACCUGUACCAGUCGGACAAAAUACUUCGUGUACUUAAGAUGCCCUAUGAGAAGAUAGAUGCAUGUGAGAAAGGAUGUGUCUUAUUUAGGAAGGAGUAUGCACACUUGGACUAUUGUCCCAAUUGCGAUUCUUGCAGGUAUCUUGUGGUAGAAAACGAUAUGGGUGAGAAGAGGCAGACCAAAAUCGCAGUUAGUGUUCUUCGGUAUAUGCCAAUCGUACCAAGACUUCAACAUCUUUUCAUGGUCGAAGAGACAGCCAGACAGAUGACAUGGCACAAAUUGGGCAAAAGAACCGAACUAGAUGCGGAUGGGAAUAAGAUGAUGGUACACACAUCGGAUGGGGAAGCGUGGAAACAUUUCGAUGGAUUGCAUCAGGAUAAAGCGGCAGAUCCAAGGAAUCCUCGAGUCUGCGCCACCACGGAUGGUUUUAAUCCCUUCGGCAUGACGGCAACCCAAUACAGUUGUUGGCCUAUAUUUGUCAUUCCACUCAAUCUCCCCCCGGGCAGAUUAUGCAAAGAAAGAACAUAUUUCUGACGUUGAUAAUUGCAGGACCCAAUUAUCCAGGGAAGAAUAUGAAUGUGUACCUGCAACCGCUUAAGGAUGAAUUGGAAGAAGCUUGGGAAAAUGGGGUCAAGACAUACGAUGCCGCUAGAAAAGAAAACUUCAAAAUGCAUGUGUGGUACAUGUACUCUAUGCAUGACUUGCCAGCGUAUGCGCUAUUCUCUGGAUGGUGUGUGCAUGGAAGGUUCCCGUGCCCCCAAUGCAAGGCAGCUCUUCAGUUUCAUUGGUUGCAGGAGGGUCGGAAGUAUUCUUGCUUUGACUUGCAUAGACAGUUCCUGGAUCCUGACCAUCAGUUCAGAAAAGACAAGAAGAACUUUACCAAAGGUAAAGUUGUCAAAAACUUGGCACCACCUGCGUUCACAGGCCAACAGAUCCUGGAUCAGUUAAACGCCCUCGACCCUGAUCCAGAGCGUCCAGGGUAUUUCAAGGGGUAUAAUUCAAAACACGCGUGGACUCACAAGCCAUGCUUCUGGGAUCUGCCUUACUUCAAAGACCUCCUUCUUCCACACAAUAUCGACAUGAUGCACACUGAAAAGAAUAUCGGAGAGGCUAUUUUUGGUACAUUGUUCAACAUAGAUGGGAAGACAAAGGAUAAUAUUAAGGCUAGAGUCGAUCAAGAGACACUAUGUCAUAGACCGUUACAAAACAUGCGAGAAGGCAAAGGAAAGCAGAAGUGGUCGAAGCCAAAGGCGUGGUUCAAUCUUGGAAGGCCAACUAUGAGGGAAAUUAUCUUGUGGGUCAAAAUACACUUGAUGUUCCCCGAUGGGUAUGCAGCGAAUCUAAAGAGGGGAGCGAGUCUUGAAAAAUUAAAAAUCUUUGGUCUCAAGAGUCAUGAUUGGCACAUAUGGCUAGAGCGGGUAAUGCCGGUGAUGUUACGUGGCUUUAUUCCUGAGGAUAAAUGGCUAGUACUGGCGGAGCUGAGCUAUUUCUUCCGUGUUCUUUGUGCGAAAGAAUUGUCGCCUGGCGUGGUAGAAGACAUGGAGGAGUUUGCACCGGAGUUGUUGUGCAAGUUAGAGAAGAUCUUUCCACCGGGCUUCUUUAAUCCAAUGCAGCAUUUGAUUUUACAUCUACCGACCGAGGCAAGAUUGGGUGGGCCCGUGCAAGAUCGUUGGUGCUAUGCAACUGAGAGGAUGCAAAAGACCCUUCGAGCUAAAUGUAAAAAUAAGCGUAGAAUUGAAGCAUCGAUGGCUGAGGCAUUCAUUACUGAGGAGGUGGCAAACUUUGUGACAGCACACUACGAAGCCAAAAAUCAUCAUUUGCAUAAUCCAAAGCCUCGGCACAAUGAUGGAGACCCUAAAAAAGGUGGGUCCAACCUCAGCCUACUCAAAGGGAAGCUCGCACCAGCCGGUGCUUCGAAACCAAUAACGUUGGAUAUCGAAGAAUGGCAGACAUUUCAUUGUAUAUCUUCAACAACCUAACCGAACUGCGGCCGUACAUCGAGUGAGUUCUCGGCACAUUUUCCCGUAACUUCUAAUUCAUUUGAACUACUCUUAUUCCCGGAUAUUUCAAACAGCCGUUACGUCGUCAAAUUCUCGGAUGGAGCGGUGAUCGAAAAUGAUUCCGUCGAAGAGUAUGAGCUUCUGUCAAAGACAGGAGGCGGCUAUCCCGGUUUCAUCUCUUGGUUCAAACAAACGGUAAUUAUCAAUAAUGGACCAUUUCAUUCUUGGUCUAACUUGCGGCUAAUGCAACAACCGUUUCGUAUUAAACUUGUAGGCUCAUUCAAAGUCUAUGGACGCCGAAUUGAGACAAGUCGCUAAUGGUUUUGACUAUAAGGUCCGUUCAUUUGAGAAAUACAACAUCAACGGAUAUCUCUUUCGUACCUUUGGCAAAGAGCUAUCUAUGCCCGACCGGAAAUCUACAAAUUGUGGUGUCUCUGCUAUCGGCGAAGGUGUUAUCGAGUAUUAUGGAAGAGUUGAAGCAAUUUAUGAACUUCCAUUCUAUGGUGAAAACCCACCGAACGUCGUAGUCUUCAAAUGUUAUUGGUUCCAGCCGAAAAAGACUAGAAGGACUCAUGAACAUAUAGGACUAGUCGAAAUCAAUCCAAACACCCAUUUAGAUGUUCCCGAUGUCUAUAUUACGGCUCAACAGGCGACCCAAGUUUUCUAUCUACCGUGGGCAUGCCAAACGGAUAAGAAUCUGGAAGGUUGGUAUGUUGUUUAUGAAGUGCCGCCACAUGUCAGACCACCUCUCCCAAAUGAACAGGAUUAUGAACCUCACAUUGACCCACACACAUAUGAUGGAGAAUUCUUCCAAGAAACACGUCUUUCCAAGAAACGUUUCAACAACCGCCGUGCUUCAUCCAAGAACAUGGAAGUAGACAGCGACAAUGAAUCCGACUCCAGCCCUCAGCCGGAACCAGAAGACCUGGAACUCGUAAAGGUUACUGAUGCGGAUGACCUGUCAAUGCUUCAACGAUUAAAGGAAGGCCUUUCACAACUUCACGCCAUUGAACCCGAUGAGCACGUCAUUCAUGAAGACAUGCGUGAUAGUGAUGAUGAUGAUGCAUUUAUUGAUGAUGAUUAUUAGUUUGUAAGAUUCACAACUUAAAUUAUAUAUUUUUUAAUCUUUAUUAUUCAUGUACAUAUUAUUAUUCAUGUCAGUCAUUCAAUUUUUGUAUGUUGUACUAAUUUCUUUUAAUCUUUAUCAUGGCAGGUGUUGAAAGAUGGUGGGCGCGGGUCCAGAGCGCUCGACGGGUUCUUCCCAGGCGCCCCGCACGAGGGGUGGUACUUCCCUUCCACCCCUAUCUCUCUGUAGAGCCUUGGCAGACAUUCUUUCGACACCAGCCGGGGGUUCUUCUUCGUCGGCGGCAUUGCCCACUGGGAGAGGUGCUGGUCGGGUAGGGAUGAAGGGGAAGGGUACAGGGAGAGGUGGUGGCCGCGGAAGAUCCAGGAGGACUGUUGAGCCGUCCUUGCCACCACCACCAGCUCAUUCACCCGAGCAUAGGACUAGUAUGGUCGACCCGUUUGCGGAGGAGGCUACGGGGACUCCGGUCCAGUAGCCUGGUGUUCACGGGCAUUCUCCCAUGAGACUCCGGUCCAGGAGCAGCCUCGGGUCGAGGUGCAUUCGGCCCAGGAGCAGCCGGAGGAGACUAUGGUUCCGGAGGCUUCACCCGACGUGGAGAGGCCCGGAUGGGAGCCUUGGCCGGAUCGUACCGAGUUGCCGGAUUGGACCGAGGGUCCGGGUGGCUCAGGGGGCGGGGAUGGCGGGGAUGAGCUUACGGAUAGUGAGGGCGAUGUGCAGGUGGACGGGGCCACCGUGUACAAGCGUGGUAGUACACGUCUCCCGGUCGCCCCGGCUACCCGCGAGCAGAGGCGGGUGAUUAAACCUGAAGGACAUAGGUAAGUACAUUUACCCUUUUUUUAGCUUUUGCCUUCAAGUUUGUUCAAAUAUCUAAUGCGCUGACCUUAUCAUACUGCAGGGGAUGGGUACACCCUCUUGGAGUCCGCAGGCCGAACUCCGUCCUUGGUGUGCUUUGCCGGACAAAUUUCCCGGGGUUUGUCACGUUGCCUCGUGAGGGUCAGGUUCCUACACUAGGAUUUACCUGGGAGCACUACCAGGCUGCACAGGCCCCGCCGGAGGAGAUUAUAGAUGGUGUCUUGUGCCACACGAGGGCCGAGAUGGUGAUCAACCGCUUUUGGGUAAAUUAUCCUUUUACAGAAUCUAAAAUUAACAAUAUACAUAAUUAUUGUACUAAUCGGUGUUUUCACGUUUGAUUGCAGACCUUCUAUAGGUGUGAGGAUGGAUAUGAGGAGGAGGCGGCCAGGGUUCUCGAGGUCGAGUGUAGGCGGUUACUACAGAACUUGCGCCACGAGGCUCGGCCGCAGGCUAUUCGAGAUUACUACGCCACGCGUGGUAUUAAGAAGCAGAAGAAGGAUUGCUGCGGAAAGUUUCUGAAGAAGGAGAAAUACAUGAAGGUAAUUACCUAUUCUUAAGUCCUUCUACGUAGUUUUCUUGAUUUCAUUCAUAGGCGUAGCGCUGAAAAUUCUUUCUAAUAACUUACAGGUGCCCCCGAGAUGGUGUGCGGAUAAGAUGGAUUGUUGGGAGGCGUUGGUUGAUGAGUGGUGCACAGGCAGCUGGCGAGCCGUCCACGAGAAUGCGAAGGAUCGGCGUAGCCAAAUGGUUGGUGUGCCACACCAUCAAGGCAGCGCCAACUUACUUCAGUUUGGACGAAACUGCGUAUGUGAUUUGCUUCAUGAUUCAUGUAAUUCAUUCUUGAUGCUAAUAUUUUGUUCCUCUCUUUUAGGCGCAUCACAAUAAGACUGAGAUGCCACACUUGUACGACCUUUAUGGCAUGGCCCAUACUGCCUCGUACAAGAAGGCGAAGGCAUUCUCUGAGUCUGACCUGGAUGAUCCCAAUAACUUCACCAACAUAUCAUCCCACCAGAAGCUCAUGGCAUACAGGGACGCGGGGAAGGCUACGAAAGGGGAUGACUUUUACCCUAGCCAGGAACCUUUGGAUCCAGAGCUGGUGAUGAUAUCUGGUGGCGGGAGGCCCCAUGGCUCGAUAGCCAUUGGAGAUGGGAUAAUACGUUGUCCACUCACUCUUCCGGAGAUCAAGGCGCGCCAGUCGAGCAGAUGUCCUGAGAUAACGUCUCGUCCACGGCCAGUCGAACUUGCAAUCGAGGUUAGUUGUACGGACUAAGAACACUUUCAUCCAUUUCAUUAUGUGUGUCACCAUAGAUCAUUACUGUGGUAACGAGGAAUGGUGUUUCAGGCUGCUCUUCAGAAAGAGAGAGCGGCAAACCAGGCUGCUCUUGAGAAAGAGAGAUUGGCAAGCCAGGCUGCUCUUCAGGCUGCUCUUGAUGAGAGGGACCAGACCACGGCACGAUUGCUUGAGGAGGAGAGGGCCCGGAAUGAAGCGGGUCAACGGGCCCUGUACGAGAUUUUUGUGGUAUGUUUUUUUUCACAUUAGCCAAAUCAUGUGUGUAAUGUCUGUUUCAAUACUAACUAAUACGACCCACUCUUCAGGGUCUGUGCGAGAAGAGCNNNNNNNNNNNNNNNNNNNNNNNNNNNNNNNNNNNNNNNNNNNNNNNNNNNNNNNNNNNNNNNNNAGCGGUCAAGUCCCUCCGCCGAUGCCCGUCUUCUCUUCGAUUGGCACGGUGAGUUUCAUUAUAAACUAGUAUUAAUAAUUGAGUGUCAUCAUGCUAACUGACACAUUGCAAAAUAUCUUUUCUGCAGAAUAACUCCCGAGCGGCAUCGCACGACCCUUCUCCAGGGCAACCGUCUCCAAACGAAGCCGGCGCGAGCAACCGUGGUGUUUCUCCUCCUUGAUGACCACUACGGUAAGUUUCUCCUCCAAACUUAGCUUGUUUUCAUCUAAAAUGAGAUAAUUAGCCCAUCUAUCUCCAAGAAGACAUAAUUAGGUAAUUUAGCUCCAACAAGAGUAGAAGAAAUAGGAAAAAUGAAAAGAAAGAAGAAGAAGAAGAAGAAGAAGAAGAAGAGAAGAAGGAGAAGGAGGAGAAGGAGGAGGAGGAGGAGGAGAAGGAGGAGAAGGCCAAGGACCUUCUACUCCUUCUCCUCCUCCUCCUUCUCCUCCUUCUCCUUGAUUUCUUCUUCUUCUCCUCCUCCUCCUCUUUCUUCUCCUCUUUCAUAUUAUCCUUGCUUUAAUUUCCCCAACAAUGACAUAAUUAAUAUUAUAUACUUAGUUAGUUUUCCUCUAAAAUGGGAUAAUUAGCCCAUUUAGCUCAAAAAGACAUAAUUAGGUAAUUUAGCUCCAACAAGAGGAGAAGAGGAGAAGAAAUAGGCAAAAUGAAAAGAAAGAAGAAGAAGAAGAAGAAGAAGAAGAAGAAGAAGAAAAGGAGAAGGAGGAGGAGAAGGCCAAGGACCUUCUAUCCUUCUCCUCCUCCUCCNNNNNNNNNNNNNNNNNNNNNNNNNNNNNNNNNNNNNNNNNNNNNNNNNNNNNNNNNNNNNNNNNNNNNNNNNNNNNNNNNNNNNNNNNNNNNNNNNNNNUAUUUUUUGAGCUAAAUGGGCUAAUUAUGUCAUUUUAGAGGAAAACAAGCUAAGUAUAUAAUAUUCAUGAGCUAACCAAGGUUCUUAUGCCAUUUUGAGCUUAUUAUGGCAUUUUGGAGCUAAAUGGGCUAAUUAUGUUAUUGUUUGGUUAAUUAAAGCAAGGAUAAUAUGAAAGAGGAGAAGAAAGAGGAGGAGGAGGAGAAUAAGAAGAAAUCAAGAAGAAGGAGUAGGAGGAGGAGAAGGAUGAGGAGGAGAAGGAUAGAAGGUCCUUGGCCUUCUCCUCCUCCUCCUUCUCCUUCUUCUUCUUCUUCUCUUCUUCUUCUUCUUCUUUCUUUUGAUUUUGCCUAUUUCUUCUCCUCUUCUCCUCUUGUUGGAGCUAAAUUACCAAAUUAUGUCUUUUUUGAGCUAAAUGGGCUAAUUAUCCCAUUUUAGAGGAAAACAAGCUAAGUAUAUAAUAUUAAUGAGCUAACCAAGGUUCUUAUGCCAUUUUGAGCUUAUUAUGGUAUUUUGGAGCUAAAUGGGCUAAUUAUGUCAUUGUUGGGUUAAUUAAAGCAAGGAUAAUAUGAAAGAGGAGAAGAAAGAGGAGGAGGAGGAGAAGAAGAAGAAAUCAAGAAGAAGGAGGAGGAGGAGGAGAAGGAGGAGGAGGAGAAGGAUAGAAGGUCCUUGGCGUUCUCCUCCUCCUCCUCCUUCUCCUUCUUCUCUUCUUCUUCUUCUUCUUCUUCUUCUUCUUCUUCUUUCUUUUCUAUUUUGCCUAUUUCUUCUCCUCUUCUCCUCUUGUUGGAGCUAAAUUACCUAAUUAUGUUCUUUUUUGAGCUAAAUGGGCUAAUUAUGUCAUUUUAGAGGAAAACAAGCUAAGUAUAUAAUAUUCAUGAGCUAACCAAGGUUCUUAUGCCAUUUUGAGCUUAUUAUGACAUUUUGGAGCUAAAUGGGCUAAUUAUGUUAUUGUUGGGUUAAUUAAAGCAAGGAUAAUAUGAAAGAGGAGAAGAAAGAGGAGGAGGAGGAGAAUAAGAAGAAAUCAAGAAGAAGGAGUAGGAGGAGGAGAAGGAGGAGGAGGAGAAGGAUAGAAGGUCCUUGGCCUUCUCCUCCUCCUCCUYCUCCUUCUCCUUCUUCUUCUUCUUCUUCUUCUUCUUCUUCUUCUUCUUCUUCUUCUUUCUUUUCAUUUUGCCUAUUUCUUCUCCUCUUCUCCUCUUGUUGGAGCUAAAUUACCUAAUUAUGUCUUUUUUGAGCUAAAUGGGCUAAUUAUCCCAUUUUAGAGGAAAACAAGCUAAGUAUAUAGUAUUAAUGAGCUAACCAAGGUUCUUAUGCCAUUUUGAGCUUAUUAUGGUAUUUUGGAGCUAAAUGGGCUAAUUAUGUCAUUGUUGGGUUAAUUAAAGCAAGGAUAAUAUGAAAGAGGAGAAGAAUGGCCAUUUUUUAGCUAAAUGGGCUAAUUACCUCAUUGUUGGGGAAAAUAAGGUAAGGAGAAUAAGAUAGAGGAGAAGAAAGAGGAGGAGGAGAAGAAGAAGAAGAAAUCAAGAAGAAGGAGAAGGAGGAGGAGGAGAAGAAGGAGGAAAAGAAGGAGAAGGAGGAGAAUGUAUUCUUUUUCUCUUCUUCUCUUCUUCAUCUCUUCUUAUUUUCUUCUUCUUUUCUUCUUCUCCUUCUUAUUUUUGUCNNNNNNNNNNNNNNNNNNNNNNNNNNNNNNNNNNNNNNNNNNNNNNNNNNNNNNNNNNNNNNNNNNNNNNNNNNNNNNNNNNNNNNNNNNNNNNNNNNNNGUAACCUUUACCUGUACCUGCAACUGGUGUUGUAGUAAUCUGUGAGCCACACGGGACUCAGCAAUCUCAUUUCCAAAGGUAUCAAGACUAGCAAAGCUUAAUGGGUAAGGUAUGGUUAAGUGGUGAGGUUGCAGCAGCGGCUAAGCAUUUAUUUGGUGGCUAACUUACGAGUACAAGAAAUAAGAGGGGGAAGAUCUACGCAAAACGGACGUGAACUACUGAUGAUCAAAUAAAUGAUCCUGAACACCUACCUACGUCAGACAUAACCCCACCGUGUCCUCGAUCGGAGAAGGAACUCACGAAAGAGACAAUCACGGUUACGCACACAGUUGGCAUAUUUUAAUUAAAUUAACUUCAAGUUAUCUAGAACCAGUGUUAAACAAAGCUUCCACGUUGCCACAUAGCCGCGGGCACGGCUUUUCGAAAAGAUUUAACCCUGCAGGGGUGCUCCAACUAGUCCAUCACAAAUUGCCACAAGCCGCAUAGAAAUCCUCAAUCACGAAGCUCGCGAUCUCGUCGGAUUCCCUAGUGGAAAACCUCAACUCACUACAGGAAUCAGCUUCUUUGCCGUCUGCCAUCACAGACGGCAAAGACAAUAUCCCGGACGGCAAAGACAAUAUCACAGACGACAAAGAUUCUCACGGCCGGCAAAAUUUCUACGUCAGCCUACAACGGCAUAGGACCUUCUUUGCCGUCUGCCCCCCAAAGAGGACGGCAAAGCUCUUUGCCGUCAGCUUUCAUUAGGAGCAGUCGGCAAAGUGCUCGAGACGGUAGCCGACAGCUGUUGCCUCCGUUAGGGGUUAACGGAGGCUUUGCCGUCUGCCUCCCCGUCCAUCUUUGCCGUCUGCCUCCUCGUCCAUCUUUGCCGUCUGCCUUCUCUUCCCCUCCUCUCCCCCUCCAUCUUUGCCGUCUGCCUCCCUGUCCAUCUUUGCCGUCUGCCAGCUCCUCCCCUCCCCCUCUCUCUACUCUUUGCCGUCUGCCUCUUCCUCCCCCCUCCCUGUUCCCUCUUCUUUGCCGUCUGCCCAUCCUGGAGGCUGACGGCAAAGAGACUACAUAGACACCCCAGAAUGCACAGCUGGGUGCCAUGUGGCACCUUUGCCGUCUGCCAACUGAUGGCACAGGUCUUUGCCAUCAGCUGUUAGACGGCAAAGAGACUAUAUAGUYCCCGUUUUUUUUUGUUUUAUAUUAUUUCUACAACACACACACACACACACACACACACACACACACAUAUAUAUAUAUAUAUAUAUAUAUAUAUUUGACAGCAAAUUUAUAUAAUUCACCACACAUAUAUGAUAUAUAGUUCACCACACAUAUACUUGCCAACACAUAUACAUAUAAUUCACCACACAUAUAUGAUUCACCAAUGUACAUCCCCAUAUAUCCAAAGAACCAACAUACCAAGUAUUGCACUGUUUAUCCAUAUAUACAUAUACAUAUAGUUUGACAUUGUUCAUCAACUCAAAUGAAAACUAGAUGAUAUACAUAUAAAGUUCAUCCAUCGACAUUGUUCAACUCCAUGAAUGCCAGCUUCCAUGCAUGUAGUAUAUCCAAUCUGCAAUAAUGUGAAUAAUAAAGUUAGAAGAAGAACAAAAUAUGAUGUUUUUCAGCUAAUUAUGUCAUUUUUAGCGGAAAACAAGCUAAGUAUAUGUGUGGUGAACUAUAUAUCAUUUGUUGGAGCUAAAUUACCUAAUUAUGUCUUUUUGAGCUAAAUGGGCUAAUUAUGUCAUUUUAGAGGAAAACAAGCUAAGUAUAUAAUAUUCAUGAGCUAACCAAGGUUCUUAUGCCAUUUUGAGCUUAUUAUGGCAUUUUGGAGCUAAAUGGGCUAAUUAUGUCAUUGUUGGGUUAAUUAAAGCAAGGAUAAUAUGAAAGAGGAGAAGAAAGAGGAGGAGGAGGAGAAGAAGAAGAAAUCAAGAAGAAGGAGGAGGAGGAGGAGAAGGAGGAGGAGGAGAAGGAUAGAAGGUCCUUGGCCUUCUCNNNNNNNNNNNNNNNNNNNNNNNNNNNNNNNNNNNNNNNNNNNNNNNNNNNNNNNNNNNNNNNNNNNNNNNNNNNNNNNNNNNNNNNNNNNNNNNNNNNNCGGUUAGUGCCGUCCGUUCGGCACUAGAUCGUGGGAUUGAUCGCGGGACGGUUCGCGGGGCGGAUCGAGGGACGUGAGGACGUUCCACUACAUCAACCGCGUUCACUAACGCUUCUGCUGUACGGUCUACAAGGGUACGUAGAUCACUCAUCCCCUCUCGUAGAUGGACAUCACCAUGAUAGGUCUUCGUGCGCGUAGGAAAUUUUUUGUUUCCCAUGCGACGUUCCCCAACAGUGGCAUCAUGAGCUAGGUUCAUGCGUAGAUGUCUUCUCGAGUAGAACACAAAAGUUUUUGUGGGCGGUGAUGUGCGUUUUGCUGCCCUCCUUAGUCUUUUCUUGAUUCCGCGGUAUUGGUGGAUCGAAGCGGCUCGGACCGACAUUACUCGUACGCUUACGAGAGACUGGUUUCAUCGCUACGAGUAACUCCGUUGCUCAAAGAUGACUGGCGGGUGUCAGUUUCUCCAACUUUAGUUGAAUCGGAAUUGACCGAGGAGGUCCUUGGAUGAGGUUAAAUAGCAAUUCAUAUAUCUCCGUUGUGGUGUUUGGGUAAGUAAGAUGCGAUCCUACUAGAUACCCAUGGUCACCACGUAAAACAUGCAACAACAAAAUUAGAGGACGUCUAACUUGUUUUUGCAGGGUAUGCUUGUGAUGUGAUAUGGCCAACGAUGUGAUGUGAUAUAUUGGAUGUAUGAGAUGAUCAUGUUGUAAUAGAAAAUAUCGAUUUGCACGUCGAUGGUACGGCAACCGGCAGGAGCCAUAGGGUUGUCUUUAUACUAACGUUUGUGCUUGCAGAUGCGUUUACUAUUUUGCUAGGAUGUAGCUUUAGUAGUAAUAGCAUGAGUAGCACGACAACCCCGAUGGCAACACGUUGAUGGAGAUCAUGGUGUGGCGCCGGUGACAAGAAGAUCGUGCCGGUGCUUUGGUGAUGGAGAUCAAGAAGCACGCGAUGAUGGCCAUAUCAUGUCACUUAUGAAUUGCAUGUGAUGUUAAUCCUUUUAUGCACCUUAUUUUGCUUAGAACGACGGUAGCAUUAUGAGGUGAUCUCUCACUAAAAUAUCGAGACGAAAUUGUGUUCUCCCCGACUGUGCACCGUUGCUACAGUUCGUCGUUUCGAGACACCACCUGAUGAUCGGGUGUGANNNNNNNNNNNNNNNNNNNNNNNNNNNNNNNNNNNNNNNNNNNNNNNNNNNNNNNNNNNNNNNNNNNNNNNNNNNNNNNNNNNNNNNNNNNNNNNNNNNNGCUCGGGUACGGCCUCACCACCGAGGGGACCUCGCAAGGGGACGGAGCAGCGCUACACAGCAGCAUGUGAUGGCCGUCAAGAGCGCGCAGAGCGCACAUGAACCGUUGACCUUGCUUGCUUCCGGAGCGCCAUGGCUCUACCGUGGUGCUGGGCGAGCUACCAUUCUUUAUAUUGCAAAGUUUACCAUGGUGGUAAUAUUCAUCACCGCACUAUUCGUCAAACGGAGUGGCGUAGUAAAUGUAUCCUCACAAUUAUAAUGAUAUUUUACUAGCAAAAUGACCCGUGCGUUGCCACGAAAAAAAAACAUAAUGUUCAAUAUGGUGACCACAUUAUGUUCACAUAUCAACGCUUGAUUCUAAAAUUUUAU
Molecule: long non-coding RNA, 48789 nt
Filed under: Hordeum vulgare
Lineage: Eukaryota; Viridiplantae; Streptophyta; Magnoliopsida; Poales; Poaceae
Description: long non-coding RNA (HVUL_LNC013878)
Source: RNAcentral